This 47798-nucleotide long non-coding RNA is filed under the name Prunus persica (peach). RNAcentral describes it as "long non-coding RNA (PPER_LNC007270)". Lineage: Eukaryota; Viridiplantae; Streptophyta; Magnoliopsida; Rosales; Rosaceae. The record is from RNAcentral.
UGAUGUUUGGAAUGAGGAUAGUAUUAAAUGGAGUGAGUUAAGAGAUUUAUUGAUAGAGGGAGCCAAGUCAGGAAGUAAGAUUUUAGUGACGACAAGAAAUACCUGGGUUGCUGAGAUGAUGGGUACCAUUCCAACAAGCAUUAAUUUAGAAUUUCUUUCUUUCGAGGAUUGUUUGUCUUUGUUUGUAGAAUGUGCUUUUAAAGAGGGACGUAAUAAAGACUAUCCUAACCUCUUUGAAAUGGGAAAGGAUAUUGUCAGAAAGUGCGGAGGGGUUCCACUGGCAGUGAAAACUUUAGGGAGUCAACUAUACUCAAAAACCGAUGAGCGUGAAUGGAAAUUGGUGCGAGAUUCUGAGAUAUGGGAAUUGAAACAAGAAGAUGCUGGUCACAUUUUACCUGCUUUGAGAUUGAGUUAUACCCGAUUGCCUCAUCAUUUGAGACAAUGUCUUGCUUGCUGUUCCCAUCUUCAAAAGGAUAUGAUUGAAUUUAGCAGUACAUAUUUGAUCAGAUAUUGGAUGGCACAUGGAAUCCUUGAUCAGUCUCGUGAUCAUAGGAAUAUGGAGUUGGAAGACAUCGGAGAGCUGUAUUUUAAAGAUUUAUGGGUGAGAUCCUUCUUUCAAAACGUUAUUGAUAAUGGUAUGUUCUACCGAUUUGAUAUGCAUGAUCUUAUCCAUGAUCUUGUACAAUCAGUUGCACAGGGUGAGUGUUUUACAGUGAAGUCUGCAAACACCAAAGACAUGUCUGAAAAUGUUAGACAUUUGACAUUUUUGGAAGCUGGCCAAAAUGUUUCAACAACCUUGCAAAAGUUGAACAAAGUGCGGACUAUAACAGUACAGGAAACAGAGAUUGAUGAAUCCUUCGUGUGCACUUGCUUUUCAAGAUUCAAGUAUUUGAGAGUGCUUGAGUUAUCUACAUGUUCAUUACAAGUGUUGCCAAGUUCCAUUGGUUCCCUGAAACAUUUGAGAUACAUGAACUUGAAUUCAAAUGAAGCAAUAACGAAACUCCCCAAUGCAAUUUGCAGACUGCAGAGCUUGCAAACUCUAAAUCUUUGUAAUUGUGAGAAUCUCCAAGAGUUACCCAGAGAUAUAAGUAAAUUGAUCAGCCUCACAUCACUUUGGAUAACCACAAAACAAACAAGUUUCACAGAGAAUGGGGUGGGAUGCUUGAAAUCACUUCGAUUUCUUUCUAUUCCUAGUUGUUGUAAUUUAACCUCUUUGCCACGUGAAAAGAGUUAUCUUACUUCCUUAAGGACUCUACUGAUAAGAAAUUGCGAACAACUGGAUUUGGGGAAUGUAAACUAUCAAGGAACUCCACUGAGGCUCCAAAAAUUGGGUAUUAUAAAUUUACCACGGAUGGUGGCAUUGCCUGAAUGGUUUCAAGGAGCGGCUAAUACCCUUCAAGUCUUGGUUAUUGGCAUGUGUGAGAAUUUGGAGGCAUUACCUGAGUGGUUGGCGAGUUUCACAUCACUCACAAAGUUGAUCAUUGAUGAAUGUCAGAAAUUGUCGUCUCUGCCAGAGGGCAUGCGUUCUCUUACCUCCUUAAGAGAACUUGUGAUUGAUGAUUGUCCUGAAUUGGAGAGGAGAUGCCAGCGCGACAUUGGAGAAGAUUGGCCCAAGAUUUCUCAUGUGCCACAUGUUUCCUUUUCCCUCAAUUGAUUUCUUGAUAUAUAAUAUAUGCAAACAAGGUGGCUCCCCUCGUAUGUUUGUUCUAUACUAAUAUUAUUCCUAGUUUCUUUCUUCAGCUGUCUCAGUAUUUCUUUCUUUCCAUUUGUUUGUGUCUAAGUAUUUACUGGAUUGUAUUUUAUUUAGUUUGGAUUGUUUCUUCCUUGGAUCAAUUUGAUUUGAUUUUAUUCAAGUUGGGGAGUGUAUGACUAAAAAUAAAAGAUUCGUCUUUGUAAAUAAUAGUUGUGUACAAGCGUGGUGUGGUGUGCACAACGACUUUGUUUACUUUCUUUGCAUCGCUUGCUAAUUCCAGUAUUGUAUAUAUGCAAUGUGAUGAUUUCAUUCAUCCAUAACAUCUUAAUAUUAUGAUAAUUUUUAUUUGUUUAUUUAUUUAUUAUUAUGAUGUGUCUCCUCAGUUACAUCAAAAGUUUUAGUGACAUCAUGACUUUACAUACGAAAACAGGAAUACAAUCAGGUUGACACUGAUUAUUAAAUCCAUUUCUUCUUAUUAACCAACUUCUCCGUUAAAUUUUACUCUUUUUGUUUGGUUUGGAUUGUAUCAUUGGUGAUCAAUUUGUUCUUAUUUAACUUUUAGACCCCCAAAAUUAAAACAAUCUUCUUUGAUAGUAUUUCUUUGUGCCUCCCAUUCACCCUGUAACGCAUACGUGUCACAACAACAUAUUUCCGCUGGCACAACAAUUUUUGUGAUUCUACACUGUAAAGCAAUAUAAACUGUGUCACAACCAAAAUUAAAAAUAAGGGUCAAUUUUAGUGGUUUAAAAGCAAAAUAAAUCAAAACAUUUCAAAUUUUGGCAUACUUGAUAAGAAGGCCCUGAUAAAUAAUAACUUUGUAUAACAUUAUAAUGUUAUUUAUGCCCCCAUUUCUCCAAGAACAUAAUAUAAUUAUUUUUUUUUGCGUUGUCUUAGAUCUUGGGAAUUAUAAUCGUAAACUAGUAUAAACUCUCUCUUUCUCAAGAAAGUAAUAUAAAAUUUUGUAAUGGCCAAACUUAAAAAAGAAAAAAAAAAGUAAUUAAUGAACCUUUUUUUUUGGGUCCUAUGCCUGUGGUGAUCAAAAUUGAAGUGAAAUGUAUAUGUUCCCCACACCACACUGAAACAAUUGAAAUUAAUUCAUACCAUAGUGAAAUUAAUUCAUAGCAUAUGUGUUCACUUAUUAGGAAUGAGUAUUGAAAUAAUUCCAAUUUUUAGAAGUUAUCAAGAUAAGGAACAUGUUUCACCAUGGUUUUCUUAGAAACCGAUUUUUAUGCCUCAAAUUGCCAAGACACGUGACCUUCAUACUUUAAGUCAUAGAUGAUAUUGAGUUAUUAUCUAAGCAUUGCAGUUAUUGUGAGAGGUGAAAGAGAGAUAAAAGAAUGGUGAUAGUUAUUUCAAAGAAAGAUUGGUGAUUAAAUUGUAUUUUACCCUUAUUAUGUUUGUUUUUCUUUCAUUUUAUUAAGGAUAAAAUCGUAAAGCAUGGACAUAUGAUUAGUUGACAGGAUUCUUUUCUGAUAUAAAAUAUAGAUAUAAAAUAGAUUUAAGUAUAAAAAAUGACAAUAUAUAAAUUACUAUAUAUUGUCCAUCAUCAAAGCUGAUCUGAAAAAGCUUCAGCGCACGAUGUCCAUCAUCAAAGAUGUUUUCUUGGAUGCCGAACAAAAGCAAGAACAUAACCAGCAGAUACGCAGUUGGCUAAGACAGCUUAAAGAUAUGGGAAUUGGAACAAGAAGAUGAUGGUCGCAUUUUACCUGCUUUGAGAUUGAGUUAUACCCGAUUGCCUCCUCAUUUGAGACAAUGUCUUGCUUCUUGUUCCUAUCUUCAAAAGGAUUGGAAUGGAUAUACUAGUUAUGCAUUGAUAAGAUACUGGAUGGCACAUGGAAUCCUUGAUCAGUUUCGUGUUCAUGGGAACAUGGAGUUGGAAGACAUCGGAGAGCUGUAUUUUAAAGAUUUAUGGGCGAGAUCCUUCUUUCAAAAAGUUAUUGAUGAUCAUACAUGCUACUUCUUUGAUAUGCAUGGUCUUAUCCAUGAUCUUGUACAAUCAGUUGCACAAGGUGAGUGUUUUAUAGUGAAGUCUGCAAACACCAAAGACAUAUCUGAAAAUGUUAGACAUUUGACAUUUUUGGAAGCUGGCCAAAAUGUUUCAACAACCUUGCAAAAGUUGAACAAAGUGCGGACUAUAGCAGCAGAACGAAUAGACAUUGAUGAAUCCUUCCUUCACACUUGCUUUUCAAGAUUCAAGUAUUUGCGAGUGCUUAAGUUAUUGGAAGUAUCACUACAAGUGUUGCCAAGUUCCAUUGGUUCGCUGAAACAUUUGAAAUAUCUGGACUUGAGUUUAAAUGAAGCAAUGACGAAAGUCCCCAAUUCAAUUUGCAGAUUGCAGAGCUUGCAAACUCUAAAUUUUGGUUAUUGUGAGAAUCUCCAAGAGUUACCGAGAGAUAUAAGCAAAUUGAUAAGCCUCACAUCACUUUUCUUAACCACAAAACAAACAAGUUUUACAGAGAAUGGGGUGGGAUGCUUGAAAUCACUUCGAUUUCUUAGUAUUACCGAGUGUAGUAAUUUAACCUUUUUGUCGCGUGAAACGAGCUAUCUUGCUGCAUUACGAACUCUAUGGAUAGUAGAAUGCAAACUGCUGGAUUUGGUGGACGUAAACUAUCAAGGAACUCCCCGGAGGCUCCAAAAAUUGAUUAUUAAAGAUGUACCACGGAUGGUGGCAUUGCCUGAAUGGUUUCAAGGAGCGGCUAACACCCUUCAACUCUUGGUUAUUGCCAGGUGUGAGAAUUUGGAGGCAUUACCUGAGUGGUUGAGAAGUUUCACAUCACUCAAAAAGUUGGUCCUUGAUUCAUAUCCGAAAUUGUCAUCUCUACCAGAGAGGAUGUGUUCUCUUACCUCCUUAAAAGAACUUGUGAUUGAUGAUUGUCCUGAAUUGGAGAGGAGAUGCCAACGCGACAUUGGAAAAGAUUGGUCCAAAAUUUCUCAUGAGCCAUAUGUUUCCUUUCACUUGUUUGAUUGAUUUCUCUAUAUAUAAUAUAUGCGAACAAGAUUCCUCUGGUGUGUUUGUUUUAUACUAAUUCCUAAUCUCUUUCUUCUGAUGUCUUAGUCUUUCUUUCUUUCCCUUCGUUUCUUUGUUUUCUUGUGUCUGGGUACUUACUGGGUUGUGUUUUAUUUAAUUUGGAUUUUGUCAUGUUUAGAUCAAUUUGAUUUGAUUUUAUUCAAGUUGUGGGGUGGAAGACCAAAAAUAAAAUAAUCGUCUUUGUGUUGUAAAGUCAAGGAUGGAUCCCAAAAUGGUAAAGCCCACUACCUAAUUGAUUGAAGAGAAAUGAUGAAGCUUGUUUGCCAUCAUCGCUUGGGAGCCAACCACAUAUCCACGAGAGGCAAUAACACUACCAGAUUUUGUUGCCUAUAAAAUAAGACUUCAUCCUCACUUGUAAUGUACAGAGAAAACAUUCAAUGAAAAUAUUAGGCUUCUAUGCCUUCUCUCCAUCUCAAUUCUCUCCAUAAUCUAUUUAGUUUACAACACGUUAUCAGCACGAAUAUCUCUAAAAUACCAGUUGAGAUAUUCGAUAAAAACACUCUGUUUCAUUGCUUCUCUUUCUUGGGUUUGAUUGAGUUGCUAAUGCUCUUCUGUGUAUCAAUAUAGCCUUGUGAAGCUUUGCUCUUCUGAGUUGCUCACUAUUUACUUGGACAACAUGCCGUCUUUGCUGAGCAUACAGCUGUAUCAUCUGCUGGUCAUCCUUGCCCAUAUAUUGCUUACUGUGGGCCAAUUCAUCCCUCAUCCUCAAACUCCAGUGGAAGUGUGUCAGAAGCUUCCAACUUUAACCAUCAUUGGAGUGGCACAUCAGUACCUAGUGAAAUACCAAACUCCUAUGCUUUUCUUGCCAUGGAUCUUCAUUAUCACAGUUGAGAGCACCAUUCCCCUCCUUCAUUUUCUACAACCGACGAUCAUAUUGGUGGCGCUGACUAGGGUUCAAUUCCAUCUGUUACUCAAAGAUCUGCUAGGCCGAGCUCAGAUUUACCAAGAUGAGGAUCUUUUAUGCACCCAUUCCUUGUUGGUCACAGCUUCAAAACAUAAACCCAACAAAACAAGGUGUGUUGCAGCAGAUGAGUUGGAGCUUGUGCAGGAAAUGCUAAAAUAUCUUUUGAUGAGAACAGACCGAAAGGAUAAGCUCCCUGCUCCUUACCUUUUUAUUUUAUUUUAUUUUAUUAUUUUAUUAUAAAAAUUCAUAACGAGAUUAGCGCAGGUACACUGGUUAUAAUGGAAAACAGUGGCGGAUUUAGGAAUUUUUCAAGGGAGGUGCAAUAUUUAAAAGGCUAAAAAUUUACAAAGGACUCAAGCAAGGCUCUGGAUUUAAGUCCUAACAUCCGUGUUGUGUUUUUUUAAAAAAAAAAAGACUAAAAAUUCAAAAAAAAUUUAUACAACCAAAUGCCCUUAGAAUUUAACCAAUACUAAUGUCACUCAUAAUUAAAACAAAUAAGAGUUUUACGUCUACAACUAAUUGAUUAUAGUCUAUAUGGGAUAUCAAUUAAUAUGAACAAAAUCCUAGUCAUUGACACAAUUAGUUUACCAAAAUUCAUAUCAAAUAUGAACAAAAUCCAUGUCAAUUACAUAAUUAAUCGAACAAAAGUCAAUACCAAUUAAUCUAACCAAAGGCACAUGUAAAUUAUUGGAGGUCAUGAAAUAAAAGUACACAUAAUUAAAAGUUUGGGGUAAUUUUUGGUGAAUUUUUUGGCACACAUAUGAGUUUUUAAUGAAUUUUUUAAGUUAGGCCAAUUAGAAAUAGACAUGUGUCAGCUUGCUAUUGGACCAUUUAAAAAAAGAAUCAAAAUCAGAAGCGCUGACGCAGAGUCUUCUUCUUCCUUGAAUUGUGCCUUUGCAACUCAACUUCAAAUAUUCUAGAAAAACUUCAAAAAUUCAUAACUUUGGUUAUGGAGCUCCGAUUGAUGAACCGUUUUCUCCUACAAGCUCGUGAGAUCGAGCCCAACAAUAUAAGGUUAAUAUUCAGGGUCUCACAAUGCAGCAAAUAAUACAACGUCUUUGUGGCAUUUAGUCGAACAAUUGGUGGGCACUAGCAAAGGGGUAACUUCUGGCAUCCCCAAGGAAGUUUCCGGCGAGAGGAGGUGCAGCUGCAUCUCCUUGCGACUCUGUGGAUCCACCAGUGAUGGAAAAGUAUAGGCUCGGAAUCAAACCUGCACAAGAACCAUUUUAAUACGACAAGAUGUUGAAAAGCCGCCUUUAAUUUAAUAUAUUAUAAUAAUAAGAAAGUAAUUGGCUUGGGUUCAGGAUAAAAGCAACUGAUUUGAAAGCCUGGAGCAUGCGUGAUAUUCCACUAAUCACUUUCCCUACUUUUCUUAUUAUAUAUUAGUAUAAGAACAUAUAGUAUAAUAAUAUAUAUAAUAUUAUAGAUGGUUUCACUUUCUAUAUUUUUAGUGGUGGUUUUAUUCCCACAUUUAUUUUAUUUACGGUAUGAAGUAGGUUUAUUACCCAUACAAUAGUAUCUAUUUAAAAGGGUGGCGCGGGUUUAUCGUCCACGCCUUUAUUUUUAUGUAUGGAGCAGAAUUAUUGCCCAUACAACAGUAUCUAUUUAAAAGGGUGGCACGAGUUUAUUGUCCAUGCCUUUACUUUUAUUUAAAUGUAUGGAGCAGAAUUAGUGCCCAUACAAGCACGUUUACUUUAUCGCAAAUUUACUUUUACUUAAAGUAUGAUGUAGAAUUAACCCUCAUACUUUAUGAAUUUAUUUUACCGCACAUUUACAUUUAUUUAAAGUAUGGUGCGGGUUUAUCGUCCAUACCAGUAAUUUGUUUAUCAGUAAUUUAUUUACAAGCAAUUUAUUUUAUGGAUUAAUUGUGUGGUAUGAUGAGUUUUUUCAGUAUACAGAUCAAGACAAAAAGUUCCUUGAUCCUCAUCAUACAAUUACAUCAGGACUUGAAGAUCCUUGAUGAUAAUAUUGAUAUGAGAGCUGGCAGUCUCUCGGGUACUAUAUUUGUAAACAUGUGAUGGGACUUGAGGGUCCUUGAUCCCUGACAUGUAAAUAAGGACCUGGGGUUCCUUAAUGAUGUAACAGUACCGUAUUGGUUAAUAGUGCCAUACACAUGGAUAAUAACUGUACUGACAAAUGUACUGUACACAUGAAUAGAUACGUAUUCAUGACUUGAUGAAUAGUACCAGAUAUAUGAAUAGUGACGUAUACAUAAAUAUUAACCAUUUUGGGUAAACCGUCACUAUAUACAAAAGGGAACUUGCAGUUCCUUAAACUCAUGGAUGAGCAAUUAAAUAAGAUGCCAGCAGUUCCUCAAAAUAUGGACAAUUAUGUAAGGGCUUGAAGUCCCGAAAUAUGUACAGAAAAUUAUAAAAAUAUUCAUACCAUGAGAAUAUGUGAUUUUGGCCCGAAGUUCAAAAUCUAAGGGGAUUGAAUGUCUAUGCCAUGAGAAUAUGUGAUUUUGGCAUGAGAUCCAAAACUUAACAGUGUUGAGAACCUAAAGUUCCAACAGUUAAAUGGACAACCCUUGAGGUAUUAUUGCAGAUUGUGGUACGCCACAUAUUUCUUUGGCAUAAGAAAAUGAUGAAUUUAAUAAAGUUCGAUUAUGUUAUAAUCGACACCUCAAGGAAGAAAUAUAUUUUGUGAAUUUCGGUUGUUAAGAAUACACCGUGAAAUAGAUAGUAUGAGUAUAAACCUCAAAUGAUGAAUUUAGGCUCCCCACAUAUUUUGUUAUAUUUGGGCCGGAAGCCCAUGGAUCCAAAUAUAUGAGAGAUCCCGAACUUGAAGUUGUGAGCAUAUAGUAGUUAAUGCUCUUCACUACUAUAUUGCAAUAUUAUCGUGGCUUUUACUCAAUUCAUAUUUCAUGUCCAUUUGAAAAGGGCGAAUAAAUUUUGAGUUUGUGUUUAGCCCAGGCUAAAAGUUUCGGGCUCACAUGCGUUGAAAUAUGAAAUUUGAGAGAUUUGAUGUGGUUACUUGAACCUAUAAGACACAAGGUUCCAAACCGUCAUUUUGAAAAGACGUAAAAACCACAGGUGCAAGUUUAAGAAUGUGCGCAAUUAUUAUAACAGGAAAGAAGCAUACAAUAGAUAGAUUUUUUCCACCUGCAAUGAAGGUGCAGGCCUUAUAAAAUCUAUAAAAUUACAUUAUGUUUUGGAAGCCUCUGAAGGAAGAGGACGGCGCCUUUUAAGCUUAGCCAUAAGCCUCUCGUGGUCUCCCAAAAUUCUUUCAUUGGAGACCUGCAUCAUGUCUAGCCUUCUCAGUGUAUCAACGGAGUACGAACUCACCAGUUUCAACAAGGCAUUAUUCUCUCUUUUAAGUUUCUCAACCUCCUGUUGAGACUCAUGAAGCAUUCUUUGAAGAGACGAAUUUUCAGUUGUUAGCUUCUGAACCUCGUUUGCUCUGGCACGCAAACGAUCAGCCAUGUUAGAAACAGAAGCAGCACUCUGAAUGCUAGAAGUCAUUGAGUCAUCAAUAGCCUCUUCCUCAGACCUCCCUGUUAACAGUAUUUCAUCCAUUGGAGUAAUGAAAUUCCUAGCUACCAUGACAGCAAUAGCAUCAUUCAUCAUCACAGAAUCAUUAACUGUGAGAUGACGAUUUUGGGAUACAAAGGAUGGACGCCAAACUUUGGCGUCACUGGUUGUUGUGGGAGCAUCAUUUAAAUUGAAAUAAUUUGGGCAGGAAGAAGAGGAAGCCAUUUUAAGAAGGUUUCUUAGAAAGUCUUAGAAAAACUAAAGUUUCAGAAAAUGAAGAAGUUGAGUUGAAACGCAGUUGCUCCAAUCAAGUUUUGUAGAGGCAAUAUCUAUAGACGGAAAUGUGGCAAUGUUUCCAGGAUCCCAAUAUCUUCUCGGAUCCCCAUAUUCUCUUUUUCUUUCCCAGAUUCCAAAACUUCACGCGGCCUCUAAUAAUGUCUGUCGGCACUUUCGGCGUUUUCAAGUAUUAUUUUCAUCAAAGCCGAUCUUGCUUUGCGGAUUUCACGGAGCUACUUUUCAAAAGUAUCCCGAGAAUCUCGCAAUUUUCCAAUGGUUAAUUUAAAAUUCACCGGUUCUACAUAUUCCUUGUAUUUGUGUAUAAAUGUGUUAUUAAUGAAAUUUUCUUUGCAGAUCUAGAUAUGCGAUAUCCACUUGUUUUUCAUAUCAGUGAGCACUCAAUGUGCUUAAGAAGCAAGACUAUCUCUGAUCAUCCAUUCAGGAAGCGAGACUAUCCCUGAUCACGUUUCUGCUACAUCGAGGAACUGUGAAGGCAACCACAUGCUCUAAUCUCCUGAAGUUCUUCUAGACUAGGAGAAAUGAGAGUUUGUUGUCUGCUCUCAUCAGCUUCCUCACCUGAUUGCUUACCUUACCUUGCAAUCAAUAUCACAAUUUUUGUAUCUUUUCUUUCUUUUUAUAACUCUCUGUUCAUAAGGGAUUUUAUUUCUUUAGAACGAACAUCCGAAGAAAGAAUCCAUGCAGUGAUCCUAACUCUGAGGGUUAUUUGUUUUUGACAGAGAGAAGAAUUGUGAUUUUUGCUCUUGCAUGAUGUAACUAGAUCAUCAAGCCAUACAUUAUAUUUACUGGGCCGAUACGAGCUUGAAUGAUACUUGAGAAAAGUUUCUCCCACCUAAGGAUGUAAGCAAUACUUGUGUUAUUUUAUGCUUAUAUACUUAUUUGAUAUUUUAUCUUGAAAGGUAACCAAAUGGGGAGAUAAGUCCGUUCCAAAAGAAUGGCUUGUAUGUAUCCAUGAAUUAUUAAUGCAAAUUUUACAGAUUGCAAGUUGGAUACAUUGAUAAUACACUGCACAGAUUAAAGUUCCAUAAAAUAUAACAUGGGUAUAGCAGUGAUCAAUAUGAUGCACGCCUAUUGCGUAGCAAAUGAUGUGGAUUGAAGUCUCGAAAGGACAAUCCUUUGACAUGUCAAUAUUGAUAUUGUGCACGCCUAAUGCGUAGCAAAUUGUAUGGGUUGAAGUCCCAGAAAUUAAUUGACAUGUAUGUAUUAAUUUGUGGCAUGCUUGCAGCAUGACAGAUAUAUGAGUUAGGGGUGGGCACUCAAACCGGCGAACUGGAAAUCCGAGCCGAACCACACCGAACCAAACCGGAAAAAAACCGAGUUGACCAAAAAGUCAAAAACCGGUCAAAAACUGAACCGGACCAGUUUGGACCGGUUCCGGAUCCGAUUCCAUGUCUUCAAAAAUCGAACCAGGCCAAACCGAACCGGUGAAACUAAAAAAAUAUAUAAUUUCAAUAUAUAUUUAUAUUUAAUGCUAUAUUUUUAAUUUCACUAAAAAAAACCUAAUAUUUAUCCAAGUUCAAUGUCAAAAUAUCUCUCUUUUCUCACUUUAAUAUUUAUUUAUUUAUAUAAAAUUGAAUAAUUUGUUAAUUUUCAAGUAAAAAAAUAAUAUUUCAGUUGAGAAUUGUAUUAAAAAAUAAUUUAAAAAAACAAUUUUUAUAAUCCGGUUCAAAACCGAACCGGAACCGGAACCGGACCGAAACCGGUUCAAACCGAACUGGACAGUUUUUGAAAUUUUUUUUAUUAAAACCGAACCGAACCAAAUCGGUUGAAUAGUACUGGAUCGGUUCUAAUUUGAGGCAAAAACCGGUCCAAACCGAACCGUGCCUACCCCUAAUAUGAGUUCUAAAUGUUCCAACUUCCUAAAUGGAGAUUAUUCACGCCCUACUGUAAAAUAACGCUCCAUUGGAGGUUAUAAUCCACAUUCUCACAUAAUAAAAGCCCCAUGAAGUGGCUUGGGUACCCAAAGGCAAAGAAAUGCUUAUAAUUGAUGCAUGUGCAUGCACAUGAGAAUGGUGGGAUCAUGAAUUGAUGAAUGACAAUUUUUGGUUUUGGAGUAGCUACUCAAAUCAUCAAUGGGUUGUGUUGAUUGGAACCACGUUCAAUUAUUAAAUGUCGACAAUAUCAUUGGCCAAAAUGGAAUGAGGCAAUUCUAUUAUAGAUGAGAAUGAACGUGAAAGAACAAACCCACAGUACGAACCCCAAAAGAUUUUAAUACUGAAAGUUAUACUUGGGUGUUCGGAAUAAAAGGGAAUAUACCUACUUUGUAUGACACAAUGUUUCUGGCAGAAACAAGGAAUGUUGGGUUUUCUCCAUAUUUACAGAUUUAAUUGUGCCCCCUUAUUGCACAUUUACGGAGACUAACAUGUUAUCUAUAAGGAUUAUUAAAUGCACGGAGCAUAUCACCAGAAGUGAUUCCCUAAAGAUGUAUAAAUAGCUAGGUUAAAGCUAUAUAAUGUGUCAUAAAGUUUAAUCCUUUUAAACAAAAUCCUUAAAAGGAUUGAAAUUGCAGGAAGCAAGUCCCUGAAGGACAUGUGCCUGAAGCACAAAAUCUGUACUCAAUACUAAUGUACAUAAAUUGCCUCAGUGAGUACAUUGAUUAUAAUAUGUUUGCAACACAUUAAAGCUUCCGAAGAGUUUAAGAAAUAUUUGUCUCGACCUAACGAUCGAGCAUUGUGCCAACAAGAUUUUUUUUUCUUGCUUAUACUAAGAAAGUAUUGAAGCACUUUUUUUUGAGGAUUAUCCGUUGGGCACUUAAAUGUUUUUUCGAAAGUAUACUGGACCGGAUAGAGCUUAGCUCCAUCACCACCACUUUGGGAUGAUGUGAUGCAUAUUUGAUGCUAUCUCUUCAUAACAUCAUAUAUGGGCAUAUUCUUUUCGAGUAAACUUACUAAUAGCCCAAGUGUUAUUGGAUAUGCGGACUCUGGAAAUUUCUAUGGUUGCUUACUGGAAAAAGCUAGUCAUGAAGUUUUCAGGGGGAGAUAUUCAUCAGGGGGAGCGUGGUAUUAAUAAAGACCUUCACACACUGUACUCUUUUUCCUUCAUCCAGAUCUUAUCCCACUGGAUUUUUCCUGGCAAGGUUUUAACGAGGCAGUGUCGCACGCGUGUCAAUAUACACAGAAUUUUAUGUUACACAUGGUUAUGUACUCUUUUUCCCUUCGACCAGUUUUUUUUUUAUCCCACUGAAUUUUUACUGGCAAGGUUUUUAACGAGGCAUAUUCUAUACCAUUUGUGGUCUCUAAGGGAGAGUGUUGUAAAGUCAAGGAUGGAUCCCAAAAUGGUAGAGCCCACUACCUAAUUGAUUGAAGAGAAAUGAUGAAGCUUGUUUGCCAUCAUCGCUUGAGAGCCAACCACAUAUCCACGGGAGGCAAUAACACUACCAGAUUUUGUUGCCUAUAAAAUAAGACUUCAUCCUCACUUGUAAUGUACAGAGAAAACAUUCAAUGAAAAUAUUAGACUUCUAUGCCUUCUCUCGAUCUCAAUUCUCUCCAUAAUCUAUUUAGUUUACAACACUUUGUAAAUAAUAGUUGUGGACAUGCAUGGUGUGGUGUGCACGACUUUGUUUACUUUCCUUGUACAUAUGCAAUGUGAUGAAUGAUUUCAUCCUUAAUAUUACGAUAUGUUGUAAAAGAAUAAAAGAAUAAACAUGUGGAGCCCACUAACUAUUCAUUACUGUUCAUUACUGUUCAUUUGGCGGCUUGAUAGAGUUUUCAUUACUGUUCAUUACUGUUCAUUUGGCGGCUUUGAUAGAGUCUGUCUGUCACUGGUGAACAGUGAUGAAUAGUGAUGAAUAGUGAUUAUCUCAGCCUAUAAAUAAGAAGAGAAACGGAAAGAAGAAAAGAAGAAAAAAGAGAAAGGAAGAGAAGGAAGAAAGAGGAAAGAGAGAGCAGAGAGAAAUUCUUCUAGAGAGAAAAUUCAGUGAGCCACAUAUAUUGUAAACACUAAACUUGUAGCCCUAUUAUUUUACAUAGUGGAAAAGUUACUACUGCUGCUCUCCGAGGACGUAGGCAUAGCCGAACCUCGUUAAAUGCUGUGUCUCAUCUACUUUAUGUGCAGCUCUGAAUUAUCGGACAUAUCCCAGGUUAUUUUAUAACACGUUAUCAGCACGAGAAGCUCUCAGGUAUAAUUUUUGUGCUGCACUAUUAUUUAUAAUACUAACCAUUAUGUUGAUGUAAAGAAGAAAAGCCAACGUAUCUAGCUUUCCACUAAUAUAUCAGUAUAAUAUAUAUAUAUAUAUUAUAUAUAUAUGAAAAGUUGAUGGUAAUAUAAUAUACUAUAUUUAUCUGCUUUUCUAUUACUAACCAUUAACAAAAAUGGACCCUUGGUAAUACUAAACAUAUUAUCAGUGGGAGACCGUUACUAAUACUAACACUUUCCUUAUCUUGUUCAAAGUGGUGGUUUUUAUUCCCACAUUUUUUUUUAUUUACUGUAUGGUGUAGGUUUAUUACCCAUAUAACAGUAUUUAUUUAAAAGGGUGGUGCGGGUUAAUCGCCCACGCCUUUGCUUUUAUUUAAAUGUAUGGAGCAGAAUUAGUGCCCAUAUAAUCACGUUUACUUUACCGCAUAUUUAAUUUAUUUAAAGUAUGGUGCGGGUUUAUCGUCCAUACCAGUAAUUUAUUUAUCAGCAAUUUAUUUUAUGAAUUAAUUGUGCUGUAUGAUGAGUUUUUACAGUGUGCAGAUCAGGACCAGAAGUUCCUUGAUCCUCAUCAUACAAUUACAUCAGGACUUGAAGAUCCUUGAUGAUGAUAUUGAUAUGAGAGCUAGCAGUCUCUCCGGUACUAUACUUGUAAACAUGUGAAUAAGGACCUGGGGUUCCUUAAUGAUGUAAUAGUACCGUAUUGGUUCAUAGUGCCGUACACAUGGAUGAUAACUGUACUGGCAGAUGUACUGUACACAUGAAUAGAUAUGUAUUCAUGACUUGAUGAACAGUACUAUUCACAUGAAUAGUGACGUAUGCAUAAAUAUGAGCCAUGGAUGAUAACUGUACUGGCAGAUGUACUGUACACAUGAAUAGAUAUGUAUUCAUGACUUGAUGAACAGUACUAUUCACAUGAAUAGUGACGUAUGCAUAAAUAUUAACCAUUUUGGAUAAACCGUCACUGUACUGGCAGAUGUACUGUACACAUGAAUAGAUAUGUAUUCAUGACUUGAUGAACAGUACUAUUCACAUGAAUAGUGACGUAUGCAUAAAUAUUAACCAUUUUGGAUAAACCGUCACUAUAUACAAAAGGGAACCUGCAGUUCCUUAAACUCAUGGAUGAGAAAUUAAAUGAGAUGCCAGAAGUUCCUCAAAAUAUGGACAAUUAUGUAAGGGCUUGAAGUCCCGGAAUAUGUACAGAAAAUUGUAAAAAUGUCCAUACCAUGAGAAUAUGUGGCUUUGGCCUGAAGUUCAAAAUUUAAGAGUAUUGAGAACCUGAAGUUCCAACAAUUAAAUGGACAACCCUUGAGGUAUUAUUGCAAAUUGUGGUACACCACAUAUUUCUUUGGCAUAAGAAGAUGAUGAAUUUAAUAAAGUUCGAUUCUGUUAUAAUCGACACCUCAAGGAAGAAAUAUAUUUUGUGAAUUCCGGUUGUUAAGAAUACACCGCGAAAUGGAUAAUAUCAAUAUAAACCUCAAAUAAUGAAUUGAGGCUCCCCACAUAUUUUAUUAUACCUGGGCCGGAAGCCCAUGGAUCCAAAUAUAUGAGAGAUCCUGAACUUGAAGUUGUGGGUAUAUAGUAGUUAAUGCUCUUCACUACUAUAUUGCGAUAUUAUCGUAGCUUUUACUCAAUUCAUAUUUCAUGUCCAUUUGAAAAGGGCAAAUAAAUUCUGAGUUUGUGCCCAGGCCAAAAGUUCCGGGCUACCAUGCAAUUUGGGAGAGACAAUGUGGUUAUUUGAACCUAUAAGGCACAAGGUUCCAAACCGUCAUUUUGAAAAGACGUAAAAACCACAGGUGCAAGUUUAAGAAUGUGCGCAAUUAUUAUUACAGAAACAUACAACAGAUAGAUUUUUUCCACCUGCAAUGAAGGUGCAGGCCCUGUAAAAUCUAUAAAAUUACAUUAUGUUCUAGAAGCCUCUGAAGGAAGAGGACGGCGCCUCUUAAGCUUAGCCAUGAGCUUCUCGUGGUCUCCCAAAAUUCUUUCAUUGGAGACCUGCAGCAUGUCUAGCCUUCUCAGUGUAUCAACUGAGUACGAACUCACCAGUUUCAACAAGGAAUUAUUCUCUCCUUUAAGUUUCUCAACCUCCUGUUGAGACUCAUGAAGCAUUCUUUGGAGAGACGAAUUUUCAGUUGUCAGCUUCUCAACCUUGUUUGCUCUAACACGCAAACGAUCAGCCAUGUUAGAAACAGAAACAGCACUCUGAAUGCUAAAAGCCAUUGAGUCAUCAAUAGCCUCUUCCUCAGACCUCCCUGUUAACAGCAUUUCAUCCAUUGGAGUAAUGAAAUUCCUAGCUACUAUGACAGCAGUAGCAUCAUUCAUCAUCACAGAAUCAUUAACUGUGAGAUGACGAUUUUGGGAUACAAAGGAUGGACGCCAAACUUUGGCGUCACUGUUUGCUGUUGGAGCAUCAUUUAAAUUGAAAUAAUUUGGGCAGGAAGAAGAGGAAGCCAUUUUUGAGAAGGUUUCGAAGAAAGUCUUAGGAAAACUAAAGUUUCAGAAAAUGAAGAAAUUUGAGUUGAAACGCAGUUGCUCCAAUCAAGUUUUACAAAGGCCAUAUCUAUAGGAGGAAAUAUGGCUACUGUUUUUCAGGACCCCAAUAUCUUCUCGAAUCCCCAUAUUAUCUUUUUCUUUCCUAGAGUCCAAAACUUCACGUGGCCUCUAAUAAUGCAUGUCGGCACUUUCGGCGUUUUCAAGCAUUAUUUUCAAAGCCGAUCUUGCUUUACGGAUUUCAGGGAGCUACUUUUUCAAAAGCAUCCCGAGAAUCUCGCACUUUUUCAACAGCAUCCCGAGAAUCUCGCAAUUUUCCUAUGGUUAAUUUGAAAUUCACCGGUUCUACCUAUUCAUUGUAUUUGUGUAUAAAUGUGUUACUAACGAAAUUUUCUUUGCAGAAGACAUCCAGUUUACUUCAUACCUAGUGAUGCGAUAUCUACUUGUUUUUCUUAUCAGUAAGCACUUAAUAUGCCUGAGAAGCAAGACUAUCUCUGAUCAUCCAUUCAGGAAGCAAGACUAUCCCUGAUCAUGUUUCUGCAAGAUCAGGGAAUUGUAAAGGCGGCCUUAUGCUCUAAUCUCCUGAGGUCCUUCUAGACUAGGAGAUAUGAGAGCUUAUUGUCUGCUCCCACCAGCUUCCUUCCCUGAUUGCUUACCUUCUCUUGCAAUCAAUAUCACAUUAUUUUUGCAUUUUUUCUCUUUUUAUAACUCUUUGUUCAUAAGAGAUUUUAUUUCUUUAGAAUGAACAUCUGAAGAAUGAAUCCAUGAAGUAAUCCUAACUAUGAGGGUUAUUUGUUUUGACAGAGGCAAAAGAGUUGUGAUUUUUGCUAUUGCAGGAUAUAACUAGAUCAUCAAGCGCUACAUUAUAUUUACUGGGCUGAUAUGAGCUUGAAUGAUACUUGAGAAAAGUUUCUCCCACCUAAGGAUGUAAGCAAUACUUGUGUUAUUUUAUGCUUAUAUACCUAUUUGAUAUUUUAUCUUGAAAGGUAACCAAAUGGGGAGAUAAGUCCGUUCCAAAAGAAUGACUUGUAUGUAUCCAUGAAUUAUUAAUGCAAAUUUUACAGAUUGCAAGUUGGAUACAUUGAUAAUACACUGCACAGAUUAAAAGUCCCAUAAGAACAUAACAUGGGUAUAGCAGUGAUCAAUAUGAUGCACGCCUGUUGCGUAGCAAAUGAUGUGGAUUGAAGUCCCAAAUGGACAAUCCUUUGACAUGUCAAUAUUGAUAUUAUGCACGCCUAAUGCGUAGCAAAUUAUAUGGGUUAAAGUCCCAUAAUAUGGGUUAAAGUCUCAGAAAUUAAUUGACAUGUAUGUAUUAAUCUGUGGCAUGCCUGCAGCAUGACAGAUAUAUGGGUUCUCAAUGUUCCAACUCCCUAAAUAGAGAUUAUCCACGCCCUACUACUAAAUAACGCUCCAAUGGAGGUUAUAAUCCACAUUCUCACAUAAUAAAAGCCCCAUGAAGUGGCUUGGGUACCCAAAAGCAAAGAAAUGCUUAUAAUUGAUGCAUGCGCAUGCAAAUGAGAAUGGUGGGAUCAUGAAUUGAUGAAUGACAAUUUUUGAUCAUGAAUUGAUGAAUGAAAAUUUUUGGUUUUGGAGUAGCUACUCAAAUCAUCAAUGGGCUGUGUUGAUUGGAACCACGUUCAAUUAUUAAAUGUCGACAAUAUCAUUGGCCAAAAUGGAAUGAGGCAAUUCCAUUAUAGAUGAGAAUGAACGUGAAAGAACAAACCCACAGUACGAACCCUAAAAGAUGUUAAUAUUAAAAGUUAUACUUGGGUGUUCGGAAUAAAAAGGGAAUAUACCUACUUUGUAUGACACAAUGUUUUUGACAUAAACAAGGGAUGUUGGGUUUUCUCCAUAUUUAUAGAUUCAAUUGUGCCCCUUUAUUACACAUUUACGAAGACCAACAUGUUAUCUUUAAGGGUUAUUAAAUACACAGAGCAUAUCACCUGAAGUGAUUCCCUAAAGAUAUAUAAAUAGCUGGGUUAAAGCUAUAUAAUGUGUCAUAGAGUUUAAUCCCUUUAAACAAAAUCCUUGAAAGGAUUGAAAUUGCAUGAAGCAAGUCUGUGGACAUGUGCCUGAAGCACAAAAUAUGUACUCAAUGUUAAUGUACAUAAAUUGCCUCAGUGAGUAUAUUGAUUAUAAUGUGUUUGCAACACAUUAAAGCUUCUCAAGAAUUCCAGAAAUAUUUGUCUCGACUUAAAGAUCGAGCAUUAUGCCAACGAGAUACUUGCUUAUACUAAGAAAGUAUUGAAGCAUUUUUAUGAGGAUUAUCCGUUGGGCACUUUAAGGAUUUUCCGGAAGUAUGUUGGACCGGACAUCAUAUUUUCCAGAUAAGGCUCAACUCCAUCACCAUCAUUUUGGGAUGAUGUGAGGUAUAUUUGAUGCUAUUUCCGCAUAACACCAUGUAUGGGCAUAUUCUUUCAAGUGAACUUAUAAAUAGCCCAAGCGUUAUUAGAUAUGCGGACUCUGAAAAUUUCUAUGAUUUACAUAGAGAUAGCUUACUGGAAAUAUAUUUACUAUAUGAAUUGUUGGUGGCUACAUCAUCCACUCACUCCGAAAGAUUCUCAAUCCAAAAGAUAGUCAUGAAGACAUCAGGGGGAGAUAUUAAUCAGGGGGAGCAUCCAGAAGUAUGCUAUACAGAUUGUUGUACUCUUCUUUCCAUCAGUUCUCUACCUUACUAGGUUUUCUCCAAGCAAGUCUUUAAUGAUACAACCGACAUAUCAUUAGUGGUCUCCAAGGGGGAGUGUUGUAAAAGAAUAAAAGAAUAAACAUGUGGAGCCCACUAACUAUUCAUUACUGUUCAUUACUGUUCAUUUGGCGGCUUGAUAGAGUUUUCAUUACUGUUCAUUACUGUUCAUUUGGCGGCUUUGAUAGAGUCUGUCUGUCACGGGUGAACAGUGAUGAAUAGUGAUGAAUAGUGAUUAUUUCAGCCUAUAAAUAAGAAGAGAAACGGAAAGAAGAAAAGAAGAAAAAAGAGAAAGGAAGAGAAGGAAGAAAGAGGAAAGAGAGAGCAGAGAGAAAUUCUCCUAGAGAGAAAAUUCAGUGAGCCACAUAUAUUGUAAACACUAAACUUGUAGCCCUAUUAUUUUACAUAGUGGAAAAGUUACUACUGCUGCUCUCCGAGGACGUAGGCAUAGCCGAACCUCGUUAAAUGCUGUGUCUCAUCUACUUUACGUGCAGCUCUGAAUUAUCGGACAUAUCCCAGGUUAUUUUAUAACACGAUAAUCUUUAUUUAUUUGUUUAUUUAUUUAUUAUUAUGAGGUUCAGUGCUGCUUCAGCUAUCCUUUUUUUUUUUUUUUAAUUUUAUUUUAUAAUCUUUUUCAUCGAACUGUUCUGUUUUGCUAUGCUACAACACAAAUGGUACCACCUUCUCAGUCUCCAAACCUAGGGAUCAACAUGUAAAAAGAGAUAAAAUUUCAGAAUUUUUUUAACGGAAUCUUAGCAUAAGAGUUGUAAGAUGGUGUUGUUCUGGAGAGAAAUCGGGUCUGUGGAGAAAUCUGGGUGGAUGGGGGGUGGGGAAAGAAAUUGAUUUGGACAAGCAUCAGGUGCAUCAAUAGACAAACCGCUCAGUGGGGACUUCCAAGCCCAAUUAUUCCAUGACCUACUGCGAUGGUAACAUUAAAAAAUUUCAUCCAACUUGAAUGAACUUCAAAGAUUUUGAAAAUCUCUCCCAACCUCUGAUAUUUUUAGUGUAGUGACCCACCAAAAGCACUUUCUCCCUCCUUUCCUUUUCAACUUGGGAAGAAAGAAGACAUAAAUUUCUCUCAUUGCUUUGAAUUAAAAAAUUGUAAAACAUUCCAGAUUCUUGCCUUAGCUGUAUAAAAUUCUAACAAAUAAAGUGCAGGUGGAGGAGAACGACAACGUUUUGGUGUUGAGCGGGGAGCGAAGGAGGGAGAAAGAGAUCGAGGAGAGUGGGGUUAAAUACGUGAGGAUGGAGAGGAGGAUUGGGUGGGGGUUCUGGGUUCAUGGGGGUUGGUGGUGGUCAUGGGAAUGGAGGGGGAAGAAAUUGGUGGGGUAGAGAGAGUUUUUUUUAUAAAUAAGUAUUUUAAUUAAUUUAAUAUUAAUGAAAAGACAAAUAUGCCCUUAUUUUUAAUAAAAAAAUUGAUUGAAAUGACCAAAAAGACGAUAUCUCAAAAUGAAAACAUAAUUAAAAUAUCACCAUAAUAAUUUAGCAAUGGAAAAUGAAAAGUAAAGUUUGGUCUGAAAAUAAGUUUUUUCAUUUCUUUUCUUUUAAAAUUGUUAAAAAUGCAUUGAUAAUUAACCGGAACAAUGAAGAAGAGAAAUUGUAAUAAAAAUUGGGAAACCGGAAGUUGUGGGUCCAGAAUAGAUUUGAAUAUUUUCUAAUUAAAAGAACGUGAAAAUAAGUUUUUAAUUAUUUUUUAUUUUAAAAUUGUUAAAAAUGCAUUGAUAAUUAGCCGCAAAAGGACAAUUGUAAAUAAGAACGGAGAAAUCAUUGUGCCUACUGAACGUGGAAUAAUUUGUCUUUGGCGCACCCACCCUCAAGUUGUCUUUAUAAUAUUCGUACCUACUGAACGUGGGACAGAGCAUUCUUAAAAAGACAAAAUAUCGGAGACUCAAACUUGGGACAGUGCAUUCAUACCUUGGGAAGCCACAACAGUCAUCUUCAUCCUCCGAAUUCUCUUGUAUUGUAAUUUGUAUACACCCUCUCAACAAAACCAUGGCUGAAGUUGCAUUUCCUUUGGCAACCAAACUCAUUGAAAAGCUCGGGUCUAUUGCUUCUGAGCAGAUCUGCUUGGCAUGGGGCGUUAAAGCCGAUCUGAAAAAGCUUCAGCGCACAAUGUCCACCAUCAAAGAUGUCCUCUUGGAUGCCGAACAGAAGCAAGCUCAUAACCAGCAGAUACGCAGUUGGCUACGACAGCUUAAAGACGUAUUUCUUGAUGCCGAGGACUUGUUGGAUGAGUUUGAGUGCGAAGCUUUGCGGAGGGAAGUGGUGGAAACAUUUCAUGGCACAACUGGAAAGGUACGCCGUUUCUUCUCUCGUUCUAAUCCAAUCGCAUUCCGUUUCAGAGUAGGCAAUGAAAUCAAGGAGAUUAGAGAGAGAUUAGAUGAGCUCAAGUCCAAUAAGGCUAUAUUUGAUUCUCUCACCAUUCUUCCUCAUGGAUAUGGAGGUGAGGAUCAUGAAAGACCUUUCGUUCCUGCUUCAAAGGUUAUUGGUAGAGAGUCUGAGAAGGAAGAAAUUGUGAAUCUGUUGAUGCAACAAGGUGAUGAUGAUCAAAGUGGGAAUUCUAAUAAUAAAGUCUCUGUCAUUCCGAUAGUGGGGAUUGGAGGUUUAGGGAAGACCACACUUGCCAAGUGGGUGUACGAUGAUAAAAGGGUCGUUGGGCAUUUCGAAUUGAGGAUGUGGGCAUCUGUUCCGGUGGACUUUGAACUUACUAAAUUGACAAGACUGAUUCUUGGUUCUGCAUUAAAUACAGAGAUCAGUGAUAAAUUGACUCUGGAUCAGUUGCAAGGAAAGCUACGUGAAGCUUUGAAGGAUAAGACAUUUCUGCUUGUCUUGGAUGAUGUUUGGAAAGAUGAUGCUUUGAAGUGGAGUCAGUUGAGAGAUCUAGUGAUAGAGGGAGCCAAGUCAGGAAGUAAGAUUUUAGUGACGACAAGAAGUACCACAGUCGCUGAGAUCAUGGGUACCAUUCCAGAAAACAUUAAUUUAGAAUUUCUUUCUUUUGAGGAGUGCUUGUCAUUGUUUGUAGAAUGUGCUUUUAAAGAGGGACAUGAGAAAGAAUAUCCUAACCUCUUUAAAAUGGGGGAAGAAAUUGUUAGAAAGUGCGGAGGGGUUCCAUUGGCAGUGAAAACUUUAGGGAGUCAACUAUACUCAAAGACUGAUCAAAGGGAAUGGAAACUGGUUAGAGAUUCUGAUAUAUGGAAAUUGAAACAAGAAGAUAGUCACAUUUUACCUGCUUUGAGACUGAGUUAUACCAGAUUGCCUCCUCAUUUGAGACAAUGUCUUGCUUACUGUUUCCAUCUUCGAAAGGAUAGGAUUGAGUUUAAUAGUUCUGAUUUGAUCAGCUAUUGGAUGGCACAUGGAAUCCUUGAUCAAUCUCGUGUUCAUGGGAAUAUGGAGUUGGAAGACAUCGGAGAGCUAUAUUUUAAGGAUUUAUGGGCGAGAUCCUUCUUUCAAAACGUAAUUGAUCUUGAUAUUUACUACCGAUUUGAUAUGCAUGAUCUUAUCCAUGAUCUUGUACAAUCAGUUGCACAAGGUGAGUGUUUUACAGUGAAGUCUGCAAACACCGAAGACAAAUCUGAAAAUGUUAGACAUUUGACAGUUUUGGAAGCUGGCCAAAAUGUUUCAACAACCUUGCAAAAGUUGAACAAAGUGCGGACUAUAACAGCAGUGGAAACAAAGAUCGAUGAAUCCUUCAUGUGCACUUGCUUUUCAAGAUUCAAGUAUUUGCGAGUGGUUGAGUUACUUACAUGUUCAUUACAAGUGUUGCCAAGUUCCAUUGGUUCCCUGAAACAUUUGAGAUAUCUGGACUUGAGUUAUAAUGAAGCAAUAACGAAACUCCCUAAUGCAAUUUGCAGACUGCAGAGCUUGCAGUCUCUAUAUCUUAUUGGAUGUGUGAAUCUUGAAGAGUUGCCCAGAGAUAUAAGCAAAUUGAUCAGCAUCAUAACACUUGAAUUAACCACAAAACAAACAAGUUUUCCAAAGAAUGGGGUGGGAUCCUUGAAAUCACUUCGAUUUCUUACUAUUUCUAGGUGUAGUAAUUUAACCUCUUUGCCACAUGAAACGAGCUAUCUUGCUUCCUUACGGACUCUAAUGCUAUACAAAUGUGAAAAACUGGAUUUGUGGAACGUAAAUUAUCCCGGAACUCCACUGAGGCUUCAAGAAUUGGAUAUUGAAAAUUUACCGCGGAUGGUGGCAUUGCCUGAAUGGUUUCAAGGAGCAGCUAACACCCUUCAAUUCUUGUAUAUUGGCAUGUGUGAGAAUUUGGAAGCAUUACCUGAGUGGUUGGCAAGUUUCACAUCACUCAAAAAGUUGGUCAUUGAUUCAUGUCAGAAAUUGUUGUCUCUGCCAGAGGGGAUGUGUUCUCUUACCUCCUUAAGAGAACUUGUGAUUGAUGAUUGUCCUGAAUUGGAGAGGAGAUGCCAGCGCAACAUUGGAGAAGAUUGGCCCAAGAUUUCUCAUGUGCCACAUGUUUCCUUUUCCUACCUUUGAUUUCUCGAUAUAUAAUACAUGCGAACAAGGUGGAUCCUCUCGUGUGUUUGUUCUAUACUAAUUCCUAGUUUCUUUUUUCAGCUGUCUCAGUAUUUUUUUUCUUUGUUUGUUUGUUUGUUUUCUUGUGUCUUGUACUGGGUUGUGUUUUAUUUAGUUUGGAUUGUGUCAUGCUUGAUCUAUUUUAUUUUAUUUUAUUCAAGUUGUGGAGUGGACAACCAAAAAUAAAACAAUCGUCUUUGUAAAUAUUAAUAAUAGUCGUCCUCCACAACACAUUACACAUGCGUGGUGAUGGUGUGGUGUUGUGCUCUUGCUAAUUCCAGUAUUGUAUUGUGAUAUUUCAUCCAUAACAUCAUCUCCAUCUAAUACAUGAUAAUCUUUAUUUAUUUAUUUAUUAUUGUGAGGAGUCUCCUCAGCUGCAUCAAAAGUUUUGGUGGCAUUAUUAUGGCUUUACAUUCGAAUAUAUAACUCAACAUCACGAAAGUAGGAAUUAAUUGAAGGUAAAUUACAAUCAGCUUGCCACUGAUUAGCAGAUCCUUUUUUCUUUUUUUUCACUGAAUUAAGAAAAUCUGCAAAGUUCUUACUUUCUUACAACCAGCACUACGGUAGAGGAACGAUGCAAGCCACGGAUGUUGUGAGCCAAAUCCUCAUACUAAAAUUUUCAUUUUUGCAUAUAUUUUGUUUUCACCAUUCUUUCUCAUUCAUCCUUUUUACAUCACCACACAUACAUUGCACUCAAGUCCCAAAAUUAACAUAUGAGACCUCUUGACUUGGAUCUGGCCGGUUGAAUCUUAUGUUUCCCCGUUGACACAGUCCGAAUCUCGGUACUUCCAGUUGACCAAAAAUUUAUCAUAACUACUCACCAAAAAUUUGUUCGAAUCUAUCAUAUUUUGCCUCACGAACUAGUUGGACAAUAGUCCAAGGCUAAACUCACCCAGCAAAAUGAAGAUUAAUAAAUAUAAGAAGUAAUCCGUAUGAAGGAGCAGUUGACCCAUAACCCAAACCUUUUAUAACAAAAUUCCACGUAACCCAAUCCUCAGAAUUGUUCAAGCCCUACGUUUUGGGCCACAAUAAAGCGUACUAGACUGUUUGGGUUGCCCAAGAGCUAGGAUGUGUACAAACGCCAUGUUAAUUGUUGUUAACUUUGAGUAGGAGCAGACGUUGUCUUAAGUACUUCUUCCUGCUUGUCUUCUGUAGGUCCUUUCCUUACUGAAGGUUCUCACCUUCUUCCCUACUGAAAACUCUACACUCCUCUCUAAGUUGAUCCUCCCAAAAAGAGCAUCAACAUGUACUAUUAUAGGUACUAAUCUUUGACAAUUUCUAUUUGUUUCAGUAUUUGCUAGGGUUGGUUUUGGUUGAUGGUCACUGAGCUGGAAUUAUGCUAUGGUGCCUGUUCUGCUUGACUAAGGCUUUCUGUAAAUUUGUUGAGGUUUUAAUAUUUGUGAAAAACCUGAACUUUGCUUGACUUGGUUUUGUGCUGAACCAAAUUUGUAACGAGAGAAGUCUCGCUUUGUAAAACUGUUUCUCUGAAUUGAGCUAAAAUUAGAUGUUUGAAUUCUAGCUGAUACCAGAGAUUUGAAUUCUAGCUGAUUUGUUUCUUGUGGAUCAAAGAGCUUUUUGGUUGCUUUAGUGUCUGAAGGUUUCUUGAGAUCAAUUGAUCUUUUUGAGUUUUUCAGUUGUGACUUUGAGAGUUUUUGUCUUGAUUGGUUUUUUGGCUGUCCUUUGAUCUGUUCACCUCUUCUCACAUUUAUAGAAAAUGCUGCGGUGGGUCUUUUAAUCUUUAAUAAUGAGCGGCAGAUCUUUCCAAAUUCUUUUUCUCUUUUCAAUGCCAUAAAAUAGGGAAGUUAUUAUUUUGGUAGAUUAGAACCAUCAACAAUCAGAUUUCAUGGAGGUCUUUUCCUUGCUUUUCUGAAAGAAAACCAACUCUUUUUAUUCCUUGUAAAAAAACACAAUCUGCCAUGAUAGUCAGUUUGCUUUUCCUGGUGAACAACUCCCCUGCUCCCUCUUAUCUCUUGAAAAUGUAGCUUAUCUCUUGGAAAUGUAAUCUGCUCUGGUGCAGAGUUUUUCUGCAGACUUGAUCUUCUUUUCCUGGAUACAGAGUGGAGAAGUUCUUCUGUAAGACUUGUCUUCAUUAACUCCCUCUCACUUCUUCUGUGAUAGUUGAAAAUUUUGACUUUUCUAAAACUAGAAAGUCACGUGGGGGUUCUUUUUGAUAAGAAAGAUCUGCUGACUUCCCUUUUCGGGACAGAGAUCAAGUGGUGAGAAUUUCUCAAAAGCUGGGCCCUUUGAACCAAAGUUGGGUUUAUCAGAUUUGUUUUCUAAAAUAAAGGAAAUUGGUUUUUAGAACUUGGUAAUACUUUGAAAACUGUCCAGAAAAUUGUAUGGGCGUUUAUUAGCACUUUGGGUUUCCAAUUUUAAUAGAUACAAAACCUAACUUUUUUUUUUUUUUUUUCUGUGGGUUUUUCAAAAAAAGGGGGCUGGUGUUCAAAAGUUUGGCCCAAACAGGUAUAAACAUAAAACUACAUUUGUCGACUCCCCAGUUCUUUUACUAGUUUUUUUUUUUUCUCUUAAUGUAUAAUUAAAAGAGUGUUUUUUAGCUUUGUUUUCUAGUUUUGUUUAACAUCAUUCGACUCUAAGGAGUCUGAUUAUUUCUGUCUGUAUUUCGUAAGGAGGAUAAUAUUGCUUAUCCUUCUUUUUAUCCAUACAAUGUUUCUAAUUAUUAAAAAAAAGGUGUGUUUCAUAUGAACUUUCAAAGCACUUAUCCACUUCAAAUAAGACACUUCUAGAGUGUUUCUUUUCUAGUAAGGUUGAGCUACAAUGACUUCUCCUAAAAUACCCCUAAAUGAAUGGAAUUGUACUUAACAGAAAGCCACCCUCAAAUCUGUUGGUAAUCCAUGCUUCUUUUCUAGCAUCCAGCACAUUUUUCUUACAGUAGUUUUUUGGGUCAGGUCUACCAAUUUAUCUUUUCUCUUGUUACACCAAAGAUCUUGCUUGUUCAAAAGACUUGUUCUCUGAUCUGUUUUUGAUUUUUCGUGGUAUGUCCCAAAUGAUUUUAACGGUCUGAAGUAGGAUUUGAUUACUUAUUUGUGUACUCAAAUUUCAUUGCUUUUUUUUGUCUGAUUGUUGGAAACGAACUUGGAGGUAUUUAUUAACUACGUUUAUCUACAACUUAUAGGAUAUGAAGAUGCUGAGGAACUCAACAAUGUUGAGGAAGAUGAGAGAGAUGAAAUUGGGGUUGAUAAUGGUGAAGAAGCAUUAGAUACAUAUGAUGGGCUUGAUUAAUUUCUCUCCAACCGGUUAUCUAUUGGAUCACUUUUUUUCUCUAUUUUUGGUUUCAUGACAUUUAUUUUUACAGUAAAUUAUGAGGCCUGCCUCCUUUUGUUGACUUAUAUCAUGUUUACUUGUUCAUAGGCUGAGGAUGGUGAAAUUUCUCUACAGUCACAUUCAUGUAUCCUUAUACCAUAACAAUCCAGUGUAUAUUUUUUAUUUGUGCGUGAUUUGAAUCAAAAAGUGAAUUUUUUUUGGGACUUCUUUACCCAUCCUUCGCGGCAAUGCAGUGAAUCAGCAAUGGCUGUUAGUUGAACGUAGAAUAAUUAAGCAUUCUUGUGAUUUGUUGUUUUUGUUUUUGGCAAUGAUAUUCCCUUAUUUUACUAAAAGUACAGCAAAAUAAACUUACUUAGUCUUGUGAGAAGAGAGAAUUUUGUGACCAAUUAAUGCUUUCCAUUGAAGGAUUGUUCUAAGCUCUGCAAAUUCUUGUGGAUUUCCUAUAUGUUUCUUAGAUCUUAACAUGGAGAAUACCUCAAGAACCCAUUUACAGGAGCUUUUUGGUAGUUUUAUCCUCAAGCAAGGGGUGAUAGAAUACAAGAUGCAGAUACGAGUGAUGAAGAAUACCAGAUUUAUGAGCAAGAUAGUGAUGACAAAUUCUCUGGUGAAAAUGAUUGCUAACAUCUCUAUGGUUCGUUCUAACUUCUGUCCUUCUUCUCUCUCUCUCUCUCUCUCUCUCUCUCUCUCUCUCUCUCUCUUCCAUGUUGAAACUGCAGGUUGUGCAAUAUGGACAUCAUUUCACAUGCACAAACAAGUUUUAUGCUUUACUUUUCGUGGCAGUAAAUUGCUCAUGGAAACUAGUCAAGAGGCCUUGCCUGCUAUAACAUGAAAGCUACACUAAGUACCAAUCAUGGGAGUUUGACCAUCAAUAUAGGCCACAGCUUUAGGAGGUUCAUCUUCUAAACGGGACAAUGUAAACCAAUGAGUUACAACUUGACAACAAUGACUAUGGCAUGGUUCCAAUAGAUACAACGACGGAGAAUAUGUACUUGCUUGAUGAGCCUAUGCAAGACUUCAGUUUCUUGUUCGACGAUAUCCUCGAAGGUGUUCCUUUUGAAUAUGCAAAACCACUCAACUCUGAACCUGCAACUCAGAGCACAGAAACAGGCGGGAAAAGCACUACUACUCCAACUGGUUAUCAUUAGAUUUGUGUUCUUAAGAUAAUGAUUGCUUUUUGCUUAGAUUUGCUGGGACAAAUUUUUCUAAUUAAAAUUUUCUAAUAGCCAAUUUCACUAUUUUGGACUAAAAGUAUUGUAAAGUGGCUAUAUGUUAUUAUGGGUUUUUUUCUUCAGUACAUUGUCUUAAACCGAACAUCAUCAUGCUGAUACGUGAAAGUAAAUUUAGAAUGAGUUUGAUCAUAUAUAAUUCAUUCUACUAAAGUUUACACGAAUAUCACCUGAACUAAUAGGAUUCUUUGCAUUUCUCACUAAAAAAGAAAAUGACAAUAUCACCUGAAACCAGUAGUUGUGGGUUGCUUUUCACACGUGACUACCUCAGUGAUUUUCUAACAAAAAAUACAAUAAAAUUAAAGGCAAGUAAACUAAGACAUGAAAGGCAAGCAAACUAUUUUAAUGGUUUUCAUCAUUUAAUCAAUCCUUAUUGCUAGGUCCAUCGUCACGAAAAAGUCUUCGUCUCAUAACAUUCCUUCGUUCUAGCUUCCAAAAUUGUUUUGUUUCAGGGGACAUAUGGCUUGAAUCUAUGGCCAUAGUUUCCCGAUCUUUUUUUUUCAAUGUUUUGUUUGCGUACAUACUCCCUUUCUUUUGCAUAUUCUAGUUGAAUAGCCAUAUCGUGCUCUUGUUGUUUCAAGUCCAUUUCAAUUCUCAUGGCUUGGUGCUUUGAAAGUUCCUCCAAAAAUUUAGAUGCAUUCUUGCUAGAAUUACUCCAUCUCUUCGCCUUCGCCGCCUUCCUCCCAAUAGGCCUUGGCUCCUUUUCAAUGGGUGGGUCUUAACUCAUCGGGGAAUCCAUAGGUGAAUCCGAUGACGGCGUCUCAUGGAGUGGAGUCUCGUUCAACACUACCGUUGGACCCGUUGGAAUAAUUUGGAAUCUCUUACAAGUCUUCACCACCUCCCAACAAUGGGUAUGGUUGAAACUUUUUUUCCCUUGCCCAAUAGCACCAAACCACAUUUGUGCGUGCAUAAUCUAUAAAGAAAAAAAAAUGGAAAUGCAAGAAACUUUAAAAAAUAUUGGCAAUGCAACAUGUAAAAAAAAAAAAACUAAUGCAAAUGCAAUAAAUUUUAAAAAAAUGCAACAUGUAUAAAAAAAACUAGAGAAAUAUUAACAAAAUAUAUAAAUUGCAAGAAACAUUUAAAUAAAAAUUAAUAUGACAUAGAAAUUAAUAGAACAAAAAUGACAAAUAAUUUACCUCACUGCUAAGGUUUUCUCCGCUUUUAUGGUUGUCCAUCGCUUUUGCCAAGGCAUUUCUCCAUUUUGCCAACUCUUUAUUAAGAAUUUUCCAACUACUAGAUAAUGCCAUUUCUGUACGUGUCGAACCAAUUGCCUUUUCACAAAAUGCUUGAUGAUUUUUUUUCCACAUAUGAGAAAAUUUAAUCUCAUUGCCCGUUACGGGACAAUGACUAACUUGGACCCAAGCCUCACACAAGCUAACAUCUUCCAUCAUGCUCCAUGCCCCUCUAUUUUCAGUAGAAGAACCCAUAAUAUGAUAGAGAAAAAUACAACUUGAAAGUGAAACAAUAUUGAGUAGAAAGUGAAUAAUAGUAGAAGGAGAAGAAAAUGUAAGAGGAUUUGGUGUUAAAAGUGAAGAGUAUUGGUUGGUAUUUAUACAAAAAAAAAAUUCAGUAAUUUUUGUAUAUUUUUUUGAAAAAAUUUCGAUUUUUUUUCAUUUUUGUAUUGCAGAAAAAUUAUCUGCCGUUGGAUUGAAGGAAAAAAUCGAAUGGGAGAGCCAAUAGGCCGACACAUGGAAGGUAGCCGUUGGCGGCUACUGUAGCGCGUCGUUUCAAAUUUUUUUUAACGUUGGUGCGUGCAAUGCACGCUCCAACGGUAAAAAAAGUUUGAAAGCUGAAGGGCUGACGCCACAUCACCGCCCUUGGGCUCUUGCUCCGGCCAAAUUCCACCUCGGGCCAGCCCAAUCUCGUGGCCCCCACCUCUUGCCCGGACUGCCUUUUGUUGCUGAAAACCCAUUUUUCUCCCAAACCCUCCCAGCCCGAGUCCAGCCUUAGCUGCUAAACUCGGGCUUGGGGGGGGGGGUUUGGGAAAAAAAAAUGGGUUUUCAGCAGCAGAAGGCAGCUCGGGCAAGAGGUGGGGGCCACGAGACUGGGCUGGCCCGAGGUGGAGUUCGGCCCGAGCAAGCGCCCGAGGGCGGUGAUGUCAUGGCUGACACCAGGUUGGCGUUAGCCCUCCAGCGUUUGAAUUUUUUUUUACCAUUGGCGCGUGCAUUGCACGCGCCAACGUUAAAAAAACUUUCAAACGACGCACUACAGUAGUCACCAACGACUACAUUCCACGUGGCGCCCUAUUGGCUCUCCGAUUCUUUUUUUUCCUUCAAUCUAACGGCAGCCAAUUUUUCGGCAAUAAAAAAUUAAAAAAAAUCGAAAUUUUGUUUAAAAAAUACACAAAAAAUACUAAAUUUUUUUUGUAUAAAUACCAACCAAUACUCUUCACUUUUAACACCAAAUCCUCUUACAUUUUCUUCUCCUUCUACUAUUAUUCACUUUCUCCUCAAUAUUUAUUCACUUUCUACUCAAUAUUUUUUCACUUUUAAGUUGUAUUUUUCUCUAGCAUAUUAUGGGUUCUUCUAUUGAAAAUGUAGGGGCAUGGAGCAUGAUGGAAGAUGUUAGCUUGUGUGAGGCUUGGGUCCAAGUUAGUCAUUGUCCUGUAACGGGCAAUGAGAUUAAAUUUUCUCAUAUGUGGAAAAAAAUUCAUCAAGCAUUUUGUGAAAGGGCAAUUGGUUCUACACGUACAGAAAUGGCAUUAUCCAGUUGGUGGAAAAUUCUUAAUAAAAAGUUGGCGAAAUGGAGAAAUGCCUUAACAAAAGCGAUGGACAACCAUCGAAGAGGAGAAAACCUUAGCAGUGAGGUAAAUUAUUUGUCAUUUUCGUUCUAUUAAUUUCUAUGUCAUAUUAAUUUUUUUUAAAAUGUUUCUUGCAAUUUAUAUAUUUUGUUAAUAUGUCUCUAGUUUUUUUUUUUUUUUUACAUGUUGCAUUUUUUUAAAAUUUAUUGAAUUUGCAUUAGUUUUUUUUUACAUGUUGAAUUGCCAAUAUUUUUUAAAGUUUCUUGCAUUUCCAUUUAAUUUUUUUUUAUAGAUUAUGCAAGCACAAAUGUGGUUUGGUGCUACUGGGCAAGGGAAAAAAAGUUUCAACCAUACCCAUUGUUGGGAGGUGGUGAAGACUUGUAAGAGAUUCCAAAUUAUUCCAACCGGUCCGACGGUAGUCUUGAACGAGACUCCACUUCAUGAGACGCCGGCAUCGGAUUCACCUAUAGAUUCCCUGAUGAGUCAAGACUCACCCAUUGAAAAGGAGCCAAGGCAUAUUGGGAGGAAGGCGGCGAAGGCGAAGAGAGGGAGUAAUUCUAGCAAGAAUGCAUCUAAAUUUUUGGAGCAACUUUCAAAGCACCAAGCCAUGAGAAUUGAAAUGGACUUGAAACAACAAGAGCACGAUAUGGCUAUUCAACUAGAAUAUGCAAAAGAAAGGGAGUAUGUACGCAAAGAAAGGGAGUAUGUACGCGAACAAAACAUUGAAAAAAAAGAUCGGGAAACCAUGGCCAUGGAUACAAGCCAUAUGUCCCCUGAAACAAAACAAUUUUGGAAGCUAGAACGAAGGGAUGUUAUGAGACUAAGACUUUUUCGUGACGAUGGAGCUAGCAACAUGGAUUGGUUAAAUGAUGAAAACUAUUAAAAUAGUUUGCUUGCCUUUCAUGUCUUAGUUUACUUGCCUUUGAUUUCAUUGUAUUUUUUGUUUUGUUUAAUUCAUGUAUUUUAUUUUAUUAGUUGUAUUGCUUUUCUUUUAGUGAAUAAAGAAAAUAUUCAACAAAAAUCUUUUUUAUUCAAAACAUUCCAUACAUAAAAAACAAACCACAACCAAAGCAUAAAAAAUAAACAAACCACAACCAAAGCAUAAAAAAUAAACAACCCACAACUAAAAAUAAUAAAGCAUAAAAAAAACAAAGCAUAACUAAAAAUACAACAUAAACAUAAUAAAUUAAAAAAACAUCUUCACUUCACUUCAUUCACCUUCAUUGCCUUUCACCGCCCAUAAAUGCUCCAUCAAGUCAACUUGACGUUGUUCAUGAAUAUACGACGAUUGCAUCUCCGUGUAGCAAUCAAUCAUACGGGGCAUGAAACUACUGUCUCUAACCAACGGUUCAUGCUGCACUGGUUCUCCAUUUGGCCCCACUGGUUUUUCAUAAAUUCGUGUUAGGGCCGUGUUCAUGGGAUUUGGUUCAUGCACUUCAUCAGCAUCGUAAUCAUAUUCAUCUUCCACAAUCAUGUUAUGGAAGAUGAUACAAGUCAUCAUUAUACUCCUAAGCACCUCCUCGUCAAAUAGACGUGCCGCGCCCUUGAUAAUAGCCUACCGGGCUUGAAGGAUACUAAAGCACCUCUCAACAUCUUUUCUGUACCCCUCUUGAUAGUGAGCAAAAAAAUUUUGCUUAUGGGAUCGGGGAUGUGGAAUUAUUUUCACAAAUAUUGUCCACCUCGGGUAGAUGCAAUCAGCUAGAUAAUACCCGUUCCGGUAGAUGGUACUGUUGAUUUCAUAUGUGAUAUUUGGGGCUUCACCUCUCAAAACAUCAUUGAACACCGGGGAUUGACCUAGGACAUUCAAAUCGUUUGAGAUCCGGCAACUCCGAAGAAGGCGUGCCAAACCCAUGUAUCAAAACCAAUAACUGCUUCCAGGAUGAUACUUUUCUGCCCUUUUCUAUUUCCGUAAUCCCCUUGCCAAGCAGUUGGACAAUUUUUUCACUGCCAGUGCAUGCAGUCAAUGCUACCAAUCAUGCCAGGAAAUCCUCGAGACUCAGCUUUUUGGAGAAGCCGUUGCAGGUCCCUGGGCGUAGGUCUGCGUAGGUAGUCUCUGGUGUACAGAGUUUCCACUGCAUCACAAAAUCGCACCAAGCUCUCCAAAACAGUGGACUUCCCCAUCCGGGCAAUCUCAUCCACCUGAUCAGCAGAUAACCCAUAUGCCAACAUUCGUAUCACAGCUGUGAACUUUUGCUCUGGAAGAAGUCCCAAAUUUCCAGCACAAUUUCUCUUUUGAACAAAAUAUUCAUCAUAAUUGCAAAUAUCAUGCAUGACUUUAUUGAACAAAUAGGGUUGCAUUCUAUAUCUCCUUUGAAAAUGAAUAUCAGAGUACAGAGAUUGUGGGAUAAAAUAAUCUUCCAUAAGAUUCUUACCCGGAGAAUGUCUAUGUCUGUCCACAUUUGGGCCACGGCCUUCUCGUGAACCAUGGCGACUCUGGUUUUCUUCCUCCAGCAAAGCAACUGCUAUGCCAAGUUGCUCAUCUAGUUCUCUCUGCACCCUUUUGCUUGCAACUCGUCUACGCAUUCUUUCUUUAGUUUCUCGCUCUUGCCUCUCCAAAACCUCUUGCAUGUCUGCCAUUGAGAAUGGAGAAUGAAAUCUAAAAUAUGAGAAAUGGAAAUGUAGAGAAGAACUGGUGUGGGAGGUAUGAGCUGAAACUCUGGUUUUAUAGAAAAAUGUAGACAGAUAGAUAUGACACGCGACGCAAUCUUAGAGGGUGAAAAUCUUAUCUGAAAUUUGAAAUUUAAAAUUUAUCUGAAAUUUGAAUUUCGAAAUGUAUCUGAAAUUUGACAUUUUGAAUUUAUCUGAAUUUUGAAUUUUGAAAUUUAUCUGAAAUUUGAAACCGAAAAUCUUAUCCGAUAUGAAUAGUAUUGACACGUAGGAACUCAAAAAUUUUAUCUGAAAAUAUUAUCCAAAUUAAUUGUUUAAGUAAACAAAGUUGUGAAAAAAAUAAAAAAAUGAAUAAUAUUUGUCAUGGCAAGCCUGAACUGCUGGAAACACACUUUGCUGGGGGGAUAGGGCAGCCACUAUUCACGUGAAUAGUAGCUGCCCUAAGGCUUCUAAGGGGCUAACCGGUGAAAAUGCUCUUAAGGGAGUUUCUUUGAGCGAAAAUUCAAGUAUCGUUGCAUCAACUUGUUGGACGGUUAGAUUUGAAUUAUUUGAUCCCAUGGCCCAGAAUAAAUUGUGAAAAAAAACCAAUGAAAGCACCUAAAAUACUGGGAAACCGGUAGUUGUGGGUUGCUUUUCACCUCAGUGAUUUUCUAAUUACUCCAUCUCGACCCUUCAUCUCCAUCCCCAUCGCCAGCAGCCCUCCGAAUCACCCGGUAGAUGUCAGUGAUGAAGAAACUGACAUCUGCUAAAUUCAACAAUCAUAAAAUGCUAAUUAAUAAGAAAUUCGAAGUUGGAAUUUUUUUGGUUGUUUGAGUUAUCUGGAAAAAGAAGAAGAGGGAGACAGAUGAAGAGAGAGAACUAGCGAAAAAAAAAAAAGGAGCCUGGGAAGGAAGAGAAAAAGAGGAAGAAAAAAACAAAAAUACCUGGGAAGGGAAGAAGAAGAAACAAAGGAGGUGAAGAGGAAGAAAAAAGUAAAAAAUGCGAAUAGAAACCUCACUGCUUUCUCCUUUAUAAAAUUGUUUAUCUCAAUAAAAAAAUUUAUUGCAGACUUAAAAGAACGUGAAAAUAAGUUUUUUUUUAUAUUUUCUUUUAAAAUUGUUAAAAAUGCAUUGAUAAUUAGCCGCAAAAGGACAAUGAAGAAGAGAAAUUGUAAUAAGAAUAGAGAAAUCAUUGUGCCCUUACGUGGAAUAAUUUGUCUUUGGCGCACCCGCUACACUCAGGUUGUCUUUAUAGUAUUCGUACCUACUAAACGUGGUUGACUAAGUCAAUGUGAAGGCAAGUAAGUAUAGAGUCCGAAAGGGCGGCGUAAGAAAACUGGACGGAAGCUGUCUUUAUAAGGAAGGCAAGUAAUUUAUACACACCCUCUCAACAAAACCAUGGCUGAAGUUGCAUUUCCUUUGGCAGCCAAACUCAUUGAAAAGCUCGGGUCCAUUGCUUCUGAGCAGAUCUCCUUGGCAUGGAGCGUUAAAGCUGAUCUGAAAAAGCUUCAGCGCACAAUGUCCACCAUCAAAGAUGUCCUCUUGGAUGCCGAACAGAAGCAAGCUCAUAACCAGCAGAUACGCAGUUGGCUACGACAGCUUAAAGACGUAUUUCUUGAUGCCGAUGACUUGUUGGAUGAGUUUGAGUGCGAAGCUUUGCGGAGGGAAGUGGUGGAAACAUUUCAUGGCACAACUGGAAAGGUACGCCGUUUCUUCUCUCGUUCUAAUCCAAUUGCAUUCCGUUUGAGAGUAGGUCAUCAAAUCAAGGAGAUUCGAGAGAGGUUAGAUGAGCUCAAGUCCAAUAAGGCUAUAUUUGAUUCUCUCACUAGUAUUGAUCAUCAUGGAAGUGGUGGUGAUCAUCAUGAAAGAGUGAAUGUGACCCACUCCUUCGUUCGUGCUUCAAAGGUUAUUGGUAGAGAGUCUGAGAAGAAACAAAUUAUAAAUCUCUUGAUGGAACAAGGUGAUGAUAAUCAAAGUGGGAAUGGGAAUGUCUCUGUUAUUCCUAUAGUGGGGAUUGGAGGUUUAGGGAAGACCACGCUUGCCAAGUUGGUGUACGAUGAUGAAAGGGUCUGUUUCGAAAAGAAGAUGUGGGUGUCUGUUUCAGUGGACUUUGAAAUUACCAGAUUGAUAAAGAUGAUUCUUAGUUCUGCAUCAGAUACAGAGAUGAGUGAUAAAUUGACUCUGGAUCAGUUGCAAGGAAGGCUGCGUCAUGCUUUAAAGGAUAAGAAAUUUUUGCUUGUUUUGGAUGAUGUUUGGAAUGAGGAUCGUAUUAAAUGGAGUGAGUUGAGAGAUUUAUUGAUAGAGGGAGCCAAGUCAGGAAGUAAGAUUUUAGUGACGACAAGAAAUACCUGGGUUGCGGAGAUGAUGGGUACCAUUCCAACAAACAUUAAUUUACAAUUUCUUUCGUUUGAGGAUUGUUUGUCUUUGUUUGUAGAAUGUGCUUUUAAAGAGGGACGUGAUAAAGACUAUCCUAACCUCUUUGAAAUGGGAAAGGAUAUUGUUAGAAAGUGCGGAGGGGUUCCAUUGGCAGUGAAAACUUUAGGGAGUCAACUACACUCAAAGACUGAUGAACGGGAAUGGAAAUUGGUGAGAGAUUCUGAGAUAUGGAAAUUAGAACGGGAAGGUGCUAGUCACAUUUUACCUGCUUUGAGAUUGAGUUAUACCCAAUUGCCUCCUCAUUUGAGACUGUGUCUUGCUUAUUGUUCCCAUCUACCAAAGGAUCAGUUUCAAUUUAGUUCUUUUCAUUUGAUCAGAUAUUGGAUGGCACAUGGAAUCCUUGAUCAGUCUCGUUUUCAUGGGAAUAUGGAGUUGGAAGACAUCGGAGAGCUGUAUUUUAAAGAUUUAUGCGCGAGAUCCUUCUUUCAAAACGUUAAUGAUCGUAAUAUAUAUUGCAGAUUUGAUAUGCAUGAUCUUAUCCAUGAUCUUGUGCAAUCAAUUGCACAAGGCGAGUGUUUUACAGUGAAGUCUGCAAACACCAAAGACAUAUCUGAAAAUGUUAGACAUUUGACAGUUUUGGAAGCUGGCCAUAAUGUUUCAACAACCUUGCAAAAGUUGAACAAAGUGCGGACUUUAAUAUCUGCGCAAACAAAGAUUGAUGAAUCCUUCAUGCGCACUUGCUUUUCAGGAUUCAAGUAUUUGCGAGUGCUUCAGUUACCUACAUGUUCAUUACAAGUGUUGCCAAGUUCCAUUGGUUCCUUGAAACAUUUGAGAUAUCUGGGCAUUAGUUUUAAUGAAGCAAUAACAAAACUCCCCAGUGCAAUUUGCAAGUUGCAGAGCUUGCAAACCCUACGGUUUUUGGGAUGUGACAAUCUUGAAGAAUUGCCCAGAGAUAUAAGCAAAUUACUUAGCCUCACAUCACUUGAAUUAACCACAAAACAAACAAGUUUUCCCAAGAAUGGGGUGGGAUGCUUGAAAUCACUUCGAUUUCUUGGUAUUGUCAAGUGUAGUAAUUUAACAUCUUUGCCGCGUGAAACGAGCUAUCUUGCUUCCUUACAGACUCUGUGGAUAGUAGAAUGCAAACAACUAGAUUUGGGGAAAGUAAAUUACCAAGGACCUCAAUUGAGGCUCCAAAAAUUGUUUAUUCGCGAUGUAUCACGGAUGGUGGCAUUGCCUGAAUGGUUUCAAAAAGCGGCUAACACCCUUCAAGUCUUGGUUAUUAGAAUGUGUGAGAAUUUGGAGGCAUUACCUGACUGGUUGGAAAAUUUCACAUCACUCACAAAGUUGGUCAUUAGUUCAUGUCAGAAACUGUCGUCUCUACCAGAGGGGAUACGUUCUCUUACCUCCUUACGCUUAAGAGAACUUGUGAUUGAGGAUUGUCCUAAAUUGGAGAGGAGAUGCUAGCGCGACAUUGGAGAAGAUUGGCCCAAGAUUUCUCAUGUGCCACAUGUUUCCUUUCACGUCCUCGAUUAAUUUCUCGAUAUAUAAUAGAUGCGAACAAGGUGAAUCCUCUCACGUGUUUGUUAUGUACUAAUUUCUAGUUUCUUUCUUCAGUUGUCUCAGUAUUUCUUUCUUUCCCCUUGUUUGUUUGUUGUGUUGUGUUUUAUUUAGUUUGGAUUGUGUCAUGCUUAGAUCAAUUUGAUUUUAUUUUAUUCAAGUUGUGGGGUGGACGAUCAAAAAUAAAAGUUGUGGACAUGCGUGGUGUGUUGUCUUGUGACGCUUGUUAAUUCCAAUAUUGUAUACAUGCAAUGUGAGGAAUGAUUUCAUCCAUAACAUCUUCUCAAACUACCGCAAUAUUAUGAUAAUCUUCAAUUAUUUGUUUGUUUAUUUAUUAUUAUGAGGUGUCUCCUCAGCUACAUCAAAAGUUUUGGUGGCUUUACAUUCGAAUAUAUAACUCUUGUCAUCAGGCUGCGAAAACAGGAAUACAAUCAGGUUGGCACUGAUUAUUAAAUCCAUUAAAUUUUACUCCCAUGAUUAAGGAAUUCUUAGGGGAAAAAAAAAAAGAAAAAAAAAAGGGGGUGGGCCUGCAGCUAUUGCCGAGGAAUGAUGCAAGCCACAGAUGUUGAGAGCCAGAUCCUCAUACUAAAAUUUUCAUUUUUCAUUUUUUCUUAUCAUUCUUUCUCAUUCAUCACACAUACAUUGCACUUUAAUCCCAAAAUAUAGACAUAUGAAAUGAAACUAAAUUUAUAUAAUUAGAGAUAUCUGCCAAUAGCUUUGUCCCUUUUAGAUCCAUCACUUAUUUUUGUCAACAAAUUGCCCCUUUCCUACUGACCCAUAGCCCAAAACCUUUAUAACAAAAUUCCACGUAGCCCUAUCCUCAGAAUUGUUCAAGCCCUAUGUUUUGGGUCAUACUAAAACGUACCAUUGGAUAUUGGAAUCCUUCAAUCUCAAUCAUGAGAAUAUGGAGGUAGAAGAUGUCGGAGAGCUAUAUUUUAAACAGUUAUGCGAGAGAUCUUUCUUUCAGAAUGCAUGUGAUUUAAGUACGCACUUUGAAUUUGAGAUGCAUGAUCUUAUUUACGAUCUUGUACAAUCUGUUGCACGAGGUGAGUAGUUUGAAGUGAACUCUGCAAACACCAAAGACAUAUAUGAAAAUGUUAGACAUCUGAGAUUCUUGGAAGUUGGCCAAAUUGUUUCAACAACAUUUCAAAUUUUGGCAUACUUAAUGAGAAGGCCCUGACUUGGAAUUGAUUGAAGGUAAAUAAUAACUUUGUAUAACAUUAUAAUGUUAUUUAUGCUCCCACAUUUCUCCAAGAACAUAAUAUAAUUAUUAUUUUUGCAUUAUCUUAGAUCUUGGUCAUGUCGACUCUACAUCUUAAACUAGUAUAAACUCUCUUUCUCAAGAAAGUAAUAUAAAAUUUUGUAAUGGCCAAACUUAAAAAAGAAAAAAGAAAAAAUUAAUGAACCUUUUUUUUGGGGUCCUGUGCCUGUGGUGAACAAAAUUGAAGUGACAUGUAUAUGUUCCUCACACCACAUAGUGUUUAUAGCAUUUAUAUGUUCCAAGUUAGUAAACAUGCGCCUAAACCACAGUGAAAUAAUUGAAAUUAAUUCAUAGCAUAUGGGUUCACUUAUCUGGAAGAAGUAUUGAAAUAAUUUCAGUUUUUAGAAAUUAUCGAGAUAAGGGACAUGUUUCACCAUGGUUUUCUUAGAAACAAAUGUAUAUGCCUCAAACAAUUGAAAUUUUUAUCUCAUGUUUGUUUUCACUUGGUUCUAGUUUUAAGUGGGACUGUUAAUAUUGGCCCCACCAAAAAUACCUCCUUAAGUGUUCUUAGUGAAAGCCCUUUGGAAAUGGAGGACUAAACAGUCCCGACCCAGGCGCCAUCCACAACCACCGAUGACCCAAGCACCUCCAAACCCCCAUCGUCACAACAAUACGCAGCAACCCUAAUCCACCAUCGCAGCCACACGGUUCCAGUCAGUUGUUGGAUUCAUUUUUAUACAUGAUUUAUCAUGUCAUUCACCUAAUAUUUUGAGUUAGUUCUUGACAUUUUAUAGCAUUUUACUUCAUUUUUGUGUUUUUAUAAAUUUUAUCUUGGUUAGAAUGAAAUUGAGCUAAAAAUGCUUUAUUGGAUAUAAAUUCUAUUUUUGCUCAUUUUCUUAGGUUAACUUCCUGGCUAUGGAUCACCAUACUCCGUUGUCCGGAUGCGGUGAAGUUCUUCACAAAACUUGUUUCAAUGGGUGUCGACAAUAACAUAUCUGAAAUUGAGCGCCAUUGAACAAGUAUAGCCUAUCCAACCGAUCCAGCAUUGACCCUAACUCUGGAAUUGUGGUUUGGACCACAUUUACCUCAAUUGGAUGUCACCCCUACCACACCACUUGGUAACAAUGUUUCACUUAGAUAAGCUGAAAUCUCUCUCAAUAUAUUGAAAGUCAAAGAAAUGAUGAAAGUGAAGACAGGUGGAGAGAAAAGACAAAGAACUUCGGGUGAAAGGUGAAGCAUCCUAUAAAGUAAUAAGUAGGAAGAGGUAUCUAAGGGGCAGCAGCUAAGGAAGCUGGGUGACUUCUCUGCACUUUGCAAUUUCAGAUUUUUAGAGAAGGAGGGGAGAAUGGCAUAACAAUUGGAGAGAACCUUGGGGAGCCUUGAGGCAAGGAUUCAAGGGGUUGAAGAUGCAAUUCUCUUUCUCCUCCUUGUUCUUAGUUUCUUUCAUUUCAUUUCCUUCUUGUAUUUUCUUCGUUUCAAUGUAACUUAUUAUUUUUCCUAGGGCUUAGAUUGAAGCCCUAAACAUGAUCACACUUUUGUUUUGAUGCUUUGAGUUUAUGGAUUUUUAGAUGUUGUUGAUGAAUUCCUUUUCAGUAAUUGAAUCAUAUGCUAUGUGUUUGCUUCCUGUGAUUGAUCACCUUAUGUUGUAUGUAUCUAGCUAAAGUUGAGAAGUUGUGUAAGAUACCCAAGAACAUAAUUUCUAAUUAGCAACAAAUAAUUGAAUCCUUUCUAAGAGUGAGCAUCAUGUGAAUUGGUUUCUUGACAACAAUUGAUGAAUUCCUCUUUACUAAAAUAAUUUAUCCUUGAUGUAUGUUUUUCUUUGAUUGAUCACGUUUGAAAGCAUGCUUCUUGAGGUUGUGGGGAUUAUAUGUACCCUCAUGUUUUCCUAAGCAACAAAUGGAUGAAGUAAGAAUCAUCCAUGUGAAUUAGUUUCUUGAAUGCCUAAUGUAAACACCAUACUAUUAAGGUUCUUGUGAUGUUCAUAUUCUCUUCAAACUUUAUGAGUUUUUCAUAUGAUUAAAUCGAAGCACUAAGCUCACCUAGAUUGAUUUUAUGGGACGCACGAGUAUUGUAGCACUAGACCCACACUUCACUUAUACUAGAGAGAAUCAUGCAUAUCUUGAGCCACUAGCCCCGAACUUGAAUGCGAAUAUCUUCAUCAAUGUGUCUAUAGUUUAUGUUCUUUGAGUAUUGAGUAUUGAUUGCGAACAUCUUUAUCAAUGUGUCUAGAGUUCAUUUCAUAUGAGUAUUCAAUAACAUGAGUAAAAGUGUAGGGAUGACUUCCAAGUGUUCUACUUUUAGUUGUCCUAGAUUACAUUUGAGUUGUAUGACAUUGUAAUUUUGUUUUUCUUUCUUUUUCGUUUCUUAUUUUCACUAGGAAAAUCAAAUGGAAUUAGGCAAUCCAAUCCCCAUGGGAUUGACCUCUCACUUACAUAAGCUUUAUUGCCAACGGUUCGUGCACUUGCGAGUAUAAUGUGUGUUUGAAAUAAUCUCUGUUUUGUGGUUUUCUAAAACAUGACAACACCAGUUUCGACGAGCACCAUAAGAUUUGACUUCCAUUCAAAACUCAGUGACAGGACCUGCCCCAAAUUCCCUGAAACCCGAGACGAAUCCUGUGAAAAUUUCAACAUCACCUCGAUGCUGGGCCCACUUACUAAAGACCGAGACUUUCUACCAAAAUUUUGGCAGAGUCUCCCCUAUAAUUUGAACAAUCCUAAAAAUUUCAAUAUGCAUAAAACACAUUUAAUAUCCACAACUGGCAGCAUGCACAAUGUAUCAACAUGCAAUUCACAUAAACGGCCUCUGGCCUUCAAAUAAUCCAAAGCAAAUCACCAAUAAAGCCAAUAAGUCAAACAAUUACCUUAAGCAAGACAAAUAAUAAAUUUAACCAUAAAUUUGAAUGCCUAAAUGCACUUUACAUCAUCUAACUUUACCAACUAUCCCACAUGCGAGGUUUUGACCUCUUAAUACAACAACAAGUAGCUUAAGGCCUUAGCCCAAAUUGUACAUCAAUCCUAAAAGGGUCUUUUAUACCCGUCUUGACCAGAACACAUUUACACGAUCCUUCCUCAGCCAAACGGGAGUAUGAACAAUUAUUUACUCGCAUCUAGUUUUCAACCGAAUUUUCAGGACCAACGACAGGGUCAGAACCAAUCUCAAUAAAACAACAUAUUAGUGGACAAUAAUUGAAUAAUUCCUUCAUAGAGAUAGAGGACAUAAUUCACAUGGAUAUAGUAAAUCUCGCUUGGGCUGCUUUAGUCCGCAGCUGCACCUAUGCACUACCCUAGGCUGCCUAUAUACCCUUAUUCAGGGAUCAAGCCACACGUAGUUCUUUCCAACAAAAAUCUUGGUUCCAAUAAUAUACAAACCAUUACAGCCAUAUAAAUUAAUACAUUCUAGAAUUAUUCCUUUCCCUUUUCCCUUGAAUCACAUCCUACCAAAGUACAAUCCUUUAUUCAUCCCUCCUGUAAUCACACAAUCUCCCCAUACGCUGAAAAUCCAACGCCGCGUAUGGGGUCUGUCUCAUACGCCAGAAGAAUCCCACGUCGCGUGUGAGACCUAAUAAUCACAUAAUCUCCCCAUAUGCCGAAACAUCUAACGCCACGUAUUGGGUCUGUCAACACGUCGGAAAAUCCUUUGCCACGUAUGACCUAACCAUCACAUAAUCUUCCCAUACACCAGAAAAUUCAACGCCACGUAUGGGGUCUGUCAACACGCUGGAAAAUCCUAUGCCAUGUGUGACCUAAACAUCACAUAAUCUUCCCAUACGUUGGAAAAUCCAAAGCCACGUAUGAGGUUUGUCAACAUGCCAGAAAAUCCUACGCCACGUGUGACCUAACCAUCACAUAAUCUCUCCUUACGCUGGAAAAUCCAAUGCCACAUAUGAGGUCUGUCAACACGUCGGAAAAUCCUACGCCACGUGUGACAUAAUAAUCAUAUAAUAUGUAUCCCGAAUAAUUAUAACUCUCAAUUAUCCAAACUAAUAAUAGAGAUAUUCCCAACUUAGUAAUACCAGUCUAUAGUAGACUUCAACGUAAUUUAAUCAAUGAAAAUAAUAUUAUUUUUAGACCAACGAUCAUGCACAUAAACAUAAAUUUUAUAAAGAUUCUAGAACAAUUUAAAUAUUAUUCAACGCUUGUUUUCACACAAAUUUCAUAAAAUACUGUACCCACAACUAGAACAUUAUUUAUAAUCAAAUAAUAUUAAUUAAUGAUAAGCAACAACCUUUAAGGAAAAUCCUAAAUCGAAUCAAUUUCCAAUUUAACCUAAAAUAAUAAUUAAGAUUCGAUAAAAAUGUUAUCCUAACACCUUCCGAAUGGUGAAACUAUCUCAGAAGACUCACGGACAACCGAGGGGUCAACUACCCAAACUUGGUCAAACAGGCCCACAACCUCCAAAUUCUGAUCCAAAAGUUCAUAUGGGUUCUACAAGGUUUAGGAUACAUGUCCCGCAAGUUUGGUCCCGAUCAAACGGUCGAAUCGCUCGCGAUCGCACAAUCGGAAGGUUAUUGUAAAACACAAACUUCAAGUUAUUAAAUCGAAACAUCUGGGCCUUCGAUUCACGUUCUGUGAAUUCCUACACGAUCCUAGAAAUGCCUAGAUUAACAUAUAUUAACUAUACGAUCCAACGAUUCAAACCUAUCGAACCCAGACAACACACAAUAGGCAAAAUCCGUUCGAUACUCAAACGGUAUCCAAAUUGAAAUCCGACCACCCUUAUAUGCUCGUGAGAACCUGGGGAUCACAUCGGGGCAAAUGCCCCUUUUCUAUAGUGCCCACGCGCCGCCACAUGCACCGGCAGUGCGUGGGUGUCCAAAGCAAUAACCUUUAGCUCGAAAAUCUCAAAAUCUGGGGCCAAGACUUCUAUCCUAGGUAAAACACCAUAUUUGGAGUCACUUUUGUUCUUGGGCCUACCACAAAAAGUGAUCAGAAGUGGUCGGAAUUAGAGGCCGAAACCAGCCAAAACUUCCAUCGCUUAUUUAACCACCAAAAUGCAGAAAUUGAUCCUAAGUAGCACAACCAGCAGCUAGAACACAUUAAAAGGAUGAGAAAGCAUACCUAGAUCACAAGAUUUGGUAGCCGGAAUCACCGGAACGAGCUCCGAAAAAUCUCGACUGAUCAAAGGACUCGAUCUUGGCUGAUCAGAGGGCUUGAUAUUGGUUGAUCAGAGAAAUUGACCUUGGUUGAUCAGAGGACUUUAUCUUGGCUUAUCAGAGGACUUUAUCUUAGUUGAUCAGAGAACUUGACCUUGGCUAAUCGAAGGCCUUGAUCUUGGCUGUUCGAAGGACUCGAUCUCGGCUGAUCGGAUGACUCGAUCUUGGCUGGUCUAAGACCUUGAUCUUGGUUGAUCAUAGGACUUGACCUUGGCUGAUUGAAGGACUUGACCAUGGCUGAAUUUUAGACCAUAACUAAACACCCACUUCAGAAGUUCCAAAUGUUCCGACUUUAGAAGUCAGAUGUUUUCAACUCGUUGCUGGAAGUUGGGUUUGGACUAGUAAGUUCUUGGUCUAAAUUAUGGUGGAACAUCGUGCAUCUAAAGCUAUAGAAUUUAUUGAAGAUUAAACGACGUGAGGUGAUUUAGCCGUUUGGCACCUUGAGCCGCCAAUUUGUAUUUUGGCCUAUUGGUUUUCCAAGAAGCGUGGUCGGAUUUCGACCAAGCUCAAGCAGCCUUAAAUAAAAAUUUAAGAGAAAUGUCACUUUAAUUUUUCAAAAUCCAUGAUUUGUCAUCUGACUUUAACACCAUCCAAUUUUUCAUCCAUUUUAAGGGUAUUUUAGUCUUUCCAUUUUCAAGGGUAUUUUUAAAAUGGAAAAAUCAUUAUAUAAAAAAUUGUAUAUCUUUUAAACAAUUAAAAUGAAAAAAAAAUUAAAAUUCUCAGCUUGCCCCAUCCCCUGUGUGCCACCAGAGGCUCCAAAUAACCCCGCCCACUUUGAAAUCCAUUCACCCUUCCCUCUUCCCCUUCCUACUUCUCUCUUUACCAUGGAACACCUAGCCUCCAUAAACAAAUUCCCUUUGCCCACCCAAACCGAGUCCACCUUCUUCUUUUUGAAAAUUUUUGACAUGCUCAAUGAGCACUGUAAAAAAAUAAUAAUAAUUAUACAUGCUCAGAGAAAAAGAGAGAAGAGGGGAAGGGGGGCUCAUGUGCGAUGUGUUUUAGAGGUGGGUGGGGUUGGGGUGGUGGAGAAGGGAAGAGAUAGAUAUCUGUUUUUUCUAGAAAAAUGGAAAGACUAAAAUACCCUUAAAAAUGAAUGGAAAAUUGGAUAAUGUUAAAGUCAGAUGAUAAAUCAUGGAUUUUCAAAAAUUAAGACGAUAUUUCUCUUAAAUUUUUCAUUAAGGUGAUAAAUUGAAACUGAGGUAUAAGUUCACGUGACAUUUCUACAAAAAUCCCUAUAUAUGAUGUAAAUUUGGAAGCAAUAAAGGGGAAUAAAAGUAAAAAAAAUAAAUUAAAAUACCAAAACCAAACCUAAAGAACAAACAAAGAAUAAUAAUAUGUACUUGAAUUUCAGCAUGACUUGUACUUUACUAGAGGGAACUUCCGUUCUUUUAUUGGAAUGGAAAUGGAACUUGAUGGAUUGAAACUAUUCCUGAAAAAGAUUGUGACGGUUCAAAUAAAGGCGUAUCUUUCUUAAAUAGAGAGUAUGCCAAUUGCUUCAUCAGCUUGGCUUUUAAAGCUGCAAUUUUUAAUCCAUCCAUUUUGAUAUAUUUAUUUAUUUAUUUAUUUACACAAUGAUAUCCUAAACUACUCUAAUGUACGAGGGGAUCGAACUCUGGUGUAAAGGGGUAGGUAGACUGCAUUGGUUAACUAACCUAACUCACGCAUGCUUGCAAAGUAGGCUUCUAUCUAAUUUUGAGUGUAUUUGGGUGUAUUCAAGUAAGUUUAUGCUAUAUCUGUAAGUGUCUAUAAAGAUUGACAUUUGUGAAAUUAUCGACAUAAGGCCAUGUUUCACCAAUGUUCUCUUAGAAACCGAUAUUAUAUGCCUCUAAUGGUAAACAAAGAAAGGCAUUACUUAAGUUUGACAUCAAAGAACAGACGCUGAGUGCCCCGCUUUACUCUCUCUGUUUUUGGGUUCUUUAUGGUUUGGAACUUAGCUAGUGUGAUCAAUUUAAUGAAGGACUUGGUUAUAAGUGUUGAGGAAGCAAAGAAAUAGAAUAUAUACUUGAAUUGGCCAUGACUACUUGUACUUCAUUAGUCGCCCCUCUCUCUCCCUCACCUCUCUCCGUCGGUUGGAUUUCACAAAAUUGAUGAUAAGUGGGGACUCUUCUUUGCAUUCUAACCUAACCUAACAACAAAGAAUUUCGACCCAAAAAAAACUAAGCAACAAAGGAAGGCAUUGCUUAGGUUAGACUUUUACGAAUAGAUGCUUCAUGCGUCACUUUUCUUUCCCUAUUUUUUCUUUAAAGAUCAAGCAAAGAACAAGAAUAUGUACUUGAAUUCGCCAGUAAAGACAGAAGGAAAAAAAAAUUUACUCUCUAAAUGUAACUGCCCCAACAAUAAAUUAAAUCUGACGUUAAUACUUGUGUCAGUAGUAUUCGCACUUUGAUGUUUUUUUAAAAAAAAAAAUUUCUUACUUUAAUUAAUCGUUCUGAUUUGAGAUGAUGAAAAAAAAUAUUUAUUGCAUCUGGGUUCUCUUUGCAUGCAUGUCCCUCAAUGAUGGUCCUGACUUUGGAAAUUUUGGAUGAAUUUGUUAAUUCUGAAUAAAAUUUUGGAAAAUUUUGAUUCAUUUCACGAGCUUGCUAGAAAAUUUGAGACUUCCACAGUGAACGAAAAGACUUGCCCUCCUAAUUCUUUACGCUUCAUAGAAACUGGACUGCAACGUCUUUGGGCGACCUGUUGUCCUGUAAUUGAGGCUUUGGUAUCUUAUUCUUUGAUUUUGUCUUCCCCUCAUGUUGCCUUUCUAUAUUUUAUUUCAGUUAAUUGAAAUUCAUAUACUCCGUUUAAAAACAAUAUAUCCCAAUUCCCUUGUAUUCACCUCCUCAACAGAACCAUGGCUGAUCUUGCCUUUCCUUUGGCAACCAACCUCAUUGAAAAGCUCGGGUCCUUUGCUUCUGAGCAGAUCUGCUUGGCAUGGGGCGUUAAAGCUGAUCUGAAAAAGCUUCAGCGCACAAUGUCCACCAUCAAAGAUGUCCUCUUGGAUGCCGAACAGAAGCAAGCUCAUAACCAGCAGAUACGCAGUUGGCUAAGACAGCUUAAAGAUGUAUUUCUUGACGCCGAGGAUUUGUUGGACGAGUUUGAGUGCGAAGCUUUGCGGAGGGAAGUGGUGGAAACAUUUCGUGGCACAACUGGAAAGGUACGCCGUUUCUUCUCUCGUUCUAAUCCAAUUGCAUUCCGUUUGAGAGUAGGUCAUGAAAUCAAGGAGAUUAGAGAGAGAUUAGAUGAGCUCAAGUCCAAUAAGGCUAUAUUUGAUUCUCUCACUAGUAUUGAUCAUCAUGGAGGUGGUGGUGACUAUCUUUCAGAAAGAAGAAGAGCAGCAAACCUUUUUUAGUACUACCAGACUUAGCUUACUCUGAUCUACGAGCACCCUUCUCUCCCUGAGGGCCCAUUAAAGCUUCAUGAGAGAGUGAAUGUGACCCACUCCUUCGUUCGUGCUUCAAAGGUUAUUGGUAGAGAGUCUGAGAAGAAACAAAUUAUAAAUCUCUUGAUGGAACAAGGUGAUGAUAAUCAAAGUGGGAAUGGGAAUGUCUCUGUUAUUCCUAUAGUGGGGAUUGAAGGUUUAGGGAAGACCACGCUUGCCAAGUUGGUGUACGAUGAUGAAAGGGUCGUUGGGCAUUUCGAAAAGAGGAUGUGGGUGUCUGUUUCAGUGGACUUUGAAAUUACUAGAUUGAUAAAGAUGAUUCUUAGUUCUGUAUCAGAUACAGAGAUGAGUGAUAAAUUGAGUCUGGAUCAGUUGCAAGGAAGGCUACGUCGUGCUUUAAAGGAUAAGAAAUUUUUGCUUGUUUUGGAUGAUGUUUGGAAUGAGGAUCCUAUUAAAUGGAAUGAGUUAAGAGAUUUAUUGAUAGAGGGAGCCAAGUCAGGAAGUAAGAUUUUAGUGACGACGAGAAAUACCUGGGUUGCUGAGAUGAUGGGUACCAUUCCAACAAGCAUUAAUUUAGAAUUUCUUUCUUUCGAGGAUUGUUUGUCUUUGUUUGUAGAAUGUGCUUUUAAAAAGGGACGUGAUAAAGGGAAAAUUCUGUGGUGCCUCAGCUGUAUCGGUACAGCCAGUUAUCCAAGGGUCAGUAUUGCAUCUUAAAAAUAAAGGGCUGAGAUUGAAUGACCUGAAGACUUGUUGAGCCCUUUGUUAUUAAAUAUCACGUGACAUACACGUGACUGAGAAAACAAGUGAAAAGCUUCAACGUGCGGAAGCCCUGGCGUGCAUUGGACCUGCUUAUCUCUGCGAUCGAUCUCUCUCUCUUGGAAAUCCAAUCCUCAUCUAUGUCCCCAAAUCAGAAUCUGGGCGUCUCACUUCUGCCGACGCUGAGAUGCAACAGUCAUCGGACAUCGCGUGCACUGGGAGCUGCUUCAUCUUUGCAAUAUAUCUCUCUUUCUCUCUCUCUCAAAUCCAAUCCUCAUCUUUGUCCCCAAGUUGGAAUCUGAUGCAUCUCCUCUCUGCCGACACUGCGAUGCAAGAACCAUCGGAGAG